This 59643-nucleotide long non-coding RNA is filed under the name Citrus x clementina. Its description in RNAcentral is "Citrus clementina (C. clementina) long non-coding RNA (CCLE_LNC001963)". Lineage: Eukaryota; Viridiplantae; Streptophyta; Magnoliopsida; Sapindales; Rutaceae. The record is from RNAcentral.
GGGAAGCCGGCUCCGCUAUUAAAAGCAAACUUCUUUAUUUAUUUACAGACUAGAGUCAAGGAGCUUCACCCGUUACACACUUGAAUCCUUUUUCUAGGCACCAUAAAGGAUCCCAACAAUUAUACAUUACAAGUCAUUACCUUUAUUUAUAGACCAGACACAAGGCGCUCUGCCCAUACAACAUACUUGGAACAUUUUUAAAGGCACACUAAAAGACCAUCCACAACAAAACAUUGAUUCGAUCAUUACACUGGAGGUCGCCUUUUCAUCGGAAAUUGAGAUUUACCUUACCAAGAGGUAAUAUCAACGUUACACAAAACAUGACAUAUAACCAUGUCUAACCUUAUAUCUAGAUUAGAUUACACAGUACACACCAGCUUAAUUAUCUUACAGUAGUAUUCAAUUGGAAUACAAACGCCAAUACACUUUACCAUCGAAAGUAUGAUCAGAAUCCAGAACAUUUCCAUGAGGUACCUCUAUAAGAUUAAUCUGCAAAACAAGAGAACCUCCUUCCUGCACAUGACGAUCUUUAUACAGUUCAUCUAAUUGAACCAUAGUUCUAAGGCCAUGAAUAGGACGAUUUUUAUCAAUAGGCCUAUAACCAUUAGUAUAACCAGAUGCAACAACAUCAAAAGAUGCUUCAGCAUCCAUAUUAUUGGCGGCUGCAGGAGGCAGAUCUCCUCUCCAAGCAUCCUCGUUAGCUCUGGGAACAAAUAAGACGGCCCAAGAAACAAUAGGAGCCCAACUUCGACCAAACAAACCAAAAUCCAUCCUAUUCAAGUUCUUCAAAACACCAGGAUCUGCAUAACGCAGAAAAAAGUAGUCUGAUUUAAAACCUAUCAAUUUUUGCUGAUCACACGCCAUAUCUUCCUUGAUUAAUGAAAAAUAAGCGCUCAGAAUCAGAGCACUUGCCUCAGAAAUUAUUUUCGUUGCUCUGUCACUCUUUUUUCUGCUGCCGUCCAAAGACAUUUUCACGUCUAUUUAUGCAAGGGAGGAAUUCGAACACAAACAAAUCACAAAUAAUUAUUAAUUAAUUAUAAUAGGACUCUUAAUUAAUGCAUUCCAGCAUCUCCUUCUGCAACGUGUCUGGCGACGUGGUUUUGUCUUCGUCUGUGCUCCGCCUUUCAUUUCUUGGAUAUCUUCAUCAUAGGUAUUAGAGCCAAGUUAAGGUUAGGUAGAUGAUACAAGUCCUCUUCAAAAGGAUUUUGCUAUCUAGGUAUUAGAGCCUAGUAAUAUAAGGUAUAAUCUCACAUAAAAUUGUGGGUCUAAGUGGAACCUAAAAUUAAAUUUUUAUGAGACUGUAUCUUACAUUACACGCUUACUUUAAUAAUUGACACGUGUUAAUUAAUGCAUUCCAGCAUCUCCUACUGCAACGUGUCUGGCGACGUGGUUUUGUCUUCGUCUGUGCUCCGCCUUUCAUUUCUUGGAUGAGUUCUGCUAUUUGCCCCGGGUCAAAUCCCGGGUCAAACCCCGAAAGUAAUAAAACGAUGCCGUUUCAAUUUCAUUUUUUUUUUGUUUCAUCCCAGCUAAAACGGCGUCGUUUUAACUGGGUUAAGGCUGCGAAAGCAUCAGAUUUGUCACCAAGAAAUCAUUUGCAACAUUAAUUAACAAGGGUAAACAAAAACGAACUCCAGUUUAAAACAACAGAGACAUACAUUGUUCUUUUUUCAAAAUGAAGCAAUAAGAGUGCAGGCACCAGAAAAAAAGAAAAAAGAAAAAAAAGAGAAAUCCAAUUUCGUAAGAUUACAACAUACAAGCUCUUAGUUGCCUGCAUUUUCGUUCUUUCAUCUUCUACCAAUUAAUAACUACACAAUUGCCUUUGCUACUUUCAAAAUAAAAAUUAUAGCAAUAUUAAAUAAAAAAAAAACGAAGAAACAAGAGGGUAAAAAUAUACAAGCUGGAGCAAACAAAAAAUUUCUUGGGUGGCCGUGUUGUCUAAUGCGUCAUCAUAGGAAAGAAAAUGGCUGAGGAGGAGGUCGACGUGAGAGUAGAGGAGGGUUUGUGAAGAAGAUGAAGAAAGAGGUUUGUGAAUGAGAGAGAUGAGGGUUUUUUGCAGAGGGGUAAAACGAAGAGGAAGACAAAGCAGUUGGGUUUUCCUUGGUUUUAUCUUUUCUAAGCCAAACGGUGUCGUUUUAUAGAGAAUCAAAACAUAAAAAAGGCAUCGACAAAACGACGUCGUUUAGGGCAAUUUCGGGGUCUGACCCGGGGUUUGACUCGGGGCAAGUAGCAUUUUCCUUCUUGGAUAUCUUCAUCAUAGGUAUUAGAGCCAAGUUAACGUUAGGUAGAUGAUACAAGUCCUCUUCAAAAUAGCUCUGUGUCGCAAGUGGUUCCGGUACGUAGAUCCACGUCUUCUUUUGCAGCGUGGUUUGGCCUUUUCAGUUCUUCUCAUUCUUUGAUUUCUUCGAAUAGUUAUCUGCAUCGUGUUUACAGGUUAGGUAAGACUAAGGAUUGGGUUCGCACAGUUCUAAUAUUUUGAUUGGACCAUCCUGCAUCUAUCUCUUAUUUAGUUUAGCAUGACUUAUUUAACAUCAUAAAUAUUUAUUUAAUUUUAUAAUUUUUUAAAUAUUAAAUAAAUUAUUUUUUUAUUAGUAAAAUUUUAAAUUUUGAGUUUUUGAAAAUAGAUUGAAAAAUAUUUUUAAAAUAUUAAAAUGUUUAAAAUAUUAUUUAUUUAUUUAAUAAUUUUAUUUCAUUCAUUUUAUAACAUAAAUUUAAAAAAUUACCUAUUAAAAAAAUUUAUAAUUUCUUAAUAAAAACUCUUAUUGAUAGUCAAAUACCUUAAAGUUUUAGUAAAAGUUUGCUUGUAAAAGAUUUAUUAACAAAAGUUAUGCCUAAAUAAGUUUUAUUUGAAAAAUUAUAUCAAGGCUUGAUUUGGUACCAAAAGAAAAUUAUCAUACACUUAUAUUUUUAUAUUAUCAUUUAAAACUGAAGAGAAGAGUAAAGAAAGAUCAAACCAGAGUGACGAAAGGAAAAGUGAAGAAAGGUUAACAUAAAAUGAAAGAAAAGCCUCGGGCAUUAUACUAUGAUUUGGGAGAAUGAUGAGUUAUUUAGUUUUGGUGGGUGUAAAAGGAAAACGAAGCUUAAUAAUAUGAGCUUAAAACUCAAUUAAAAUGAGUUUAAUGAAGGGUAGUUUUAGCAUUUUAAAGUGCGAUCAUAGUUAAUUUUAAUUUUUGUAAUUUAUUGAAUAAACUAUUUGCAAUGAAUUAAGAAAAGUAAUCAAUAAUUAUAACAAUAAAAGUAAUGAUUACUGAAACGACCCACCUCGAACUUCAAGAGCAAAUCUAUCUAAUUUCUUUUAACGUGAUUAGUAAAACUUAUUAAUAAGGAUUUUACUAAAAUUUUCCAACAUGCAAAUCUGCAAAACAAACACUUUCAAAAUAAUUCAAUACACAACAAACUUCAUUGAUCAACCUUCUCAACCAUGAUAUUGAUUAUCACCUAAACACUUAUAAAGUAUCAAAAGAUUAUGUUAUAGCUAAUGUCAACAUAUAUUAAACAUUCAUAAUCAUCAAAUCAUAAUACAAUUAUACAAUCCAAAAUGAGAUGAUCUAAAUGCCCUAAUAAUAUCAUUUAUAUCUUUUAGCACCAUCACAUGGUCAAAAUUCAAAAAUACUACAGUCGUUGGGUCGAUUAAUAUAUCCACAACCUUCUGUGGGAGAAAAGUAUAGUAAAAUGGAAUGAAUAUAAAACUCAAUGAGUGAAUAAUAACUUUUGAAAAUAAUAUAUUUUAAAAUAAUUAUAUCUUUUCAAUAUACUAUUUUCAUCAAACUAUAAGUAAGAACAUAGAUGAAUUAUUCGAACUUUAAAUCAAACAACUGUUGUUUUAAUUUUAAAGUGCGAUCGUAGUAAAUUUUUAUUUUUUUUAAUUUAUUGAAUAAACUAUGUAUAAUCAAUUAAGAAAAAUAAUCAAUAACUAUAACAAUGAAAGUAUUGAUUACUGCAACGACCCACCUCAAACUUCGAGGGCAAGUCUAUCUAAUUUCUUCUAACGUGAUUAGUAAAACUUAUUAAUGAGGAUUUUGCUAAAAGUUCGUCGACAUAGUCCCCCCCUAUAUUUAUAAAAUUUCUAACAUGCAAAUCUAAACGCUCCCAAAAUAAUUCAAUACACAACUAACUUCAUUGAUCAACCUCCUCAACCAUAAUACUGAAUAUCACCUAAACACUUCUAAAUUAUCAAAAGAUUAUAUUAGAGCUAAUGUCAACAUACAUUAAACAUUCAUAAUCAUCAAAUCAUAAUACAAUUAUACAAUCCAAAAUGAGAUGAUCUAAAUGCACUAAUAAUAUCAUUUGUAUCUCCUAGCACCAUCACGUGGCCAAAAAAAAAAAAAACAAAUACUACAAUCACUGGGUCGAUUGGUGUACCGCAACCUUCUUUAGGGGGAAAGUAUAAAAAAAUGAAAUGAGUAAUUUGACAAGAGGAUUUUAAUUUCUUGUGAAAUCUGUGUUACUUUAAAUCAUUUUAUAGAAAUUAGGGAUGGCAAUGGGGAGUGGAGGGGAGAGGACCAAUCUCCCCGUAUCCAUCCCCGAUAUUUUACGUAUGUCUCCGUCUCCUCCUCAUCCCCAUCAUAAUUGCUUGAGAGAAUCUCAUUUUACUCCCCGAAUAAUAACACAGGGAUCCUCGAGGAUCCCCGAUUCCCGAAUAACUAAUACAUAUUUUUAUUUUUUAUUUUUAGUUAAUUAGAUUAAAAUAAAAAAUUCAAACAAAAGUAAAGUUCGAAAUAUAUUUUACAUUAACAUUGAUUCAUUAUAAAAGUCACAUGCAAAAUACAAAUUAUCAAAAUAAUUAUCUUUAUCAAUCUUCAUAAUCCUACAAUAAAAAGAAAAAGAAUUUACUUUUAUAUCGACAAUAAAAUAAAUGAAAUAAAUGUAGAUACUUAAUUAAUAUUUUUAAUAAAAAAAUUAAAAUUAAAACAAAAUUUUUGGGCUAAUAGAAUCUACUCGACCUUUUUAAUGUCCUAAAUAAAAAUUUACGACUUUAAUUAGUUAAUUAGGCCUAAAAGUUGAAUAAUAUAAAUAUUUUAAUAUUUUUUACUUUUACCAAUAUUUAUAAUUUUAUAAUAUAAUUCAAAUUUUAUUAUUUAUUUACUAGUAAUUUUAAAAAAAAUAAAAAUAAAAUUAAAAAUUAAAAUGGGGAAAUGGGGAGGGGAUGGGGAUUCCACCCCAUCCCCGCCCCUUCCCCGAAUAAGAAACUGGGUAAAAAAAUUUCUCCGUCCCUUCCCCGAAUAAGAAAUUGGGCAUAGAAUUAUCUACGUACCCUCCCCAAAUGGAAAAAAUCCCCGAGGGUACCCGUCCCCGUGGGGAUUUUUGCCAUCCCUAAAAUUCCAUUAGCUUUGUGUUGCAACUCUGCAACGGAAUGUCAAAUCGACAAUGAAAUUUCUUUGUCCAUUUUUCACGUGCACAACCAUAAAAAAGAAAAAAAAACAAUAUCACAAUUGUAUGUAUACGCUGGUGGGUCCAUUUUCAAAUUUGACAAGAGGAUUUUAAUUUCUUGUGGAAUUUGUGUUAUUUCAAAUCAUUUUAUAGAAAUUAAGGAUGGCAAUGGGGAGGGGAGGUGAGGGGACCAAUAUCCCCUUACCCAUCCUCGAUAUUUUACGUAUGUCCCCGUCCCGUCCCGUCCCCAUCCCCGUCAUAAUUGCUUGAGAGAAUCUCCAUCUCCUCCCCGAAUAAUAACAGGGGAUCCCCGAGAGUUCCCGAUUCUCUAAUAACUAAUAUAUAUAUAUAUAUAUAUAUAUAUAUAUAUAUAAUUUUUUAUUUUGAGUUAAUUAUAUUAAAAUAAAAAAUUCAAACAAAAGUAAAGUUCGAAAUAUAUUUUACAUUAGCAUUGAUCCAUUAUAAAAGUCACAUGCAAAAUACAAAUUAUCAAAAUAAUUAUCUUUGUCAAUCUUCAUAAUCCUACAAUAAAAAGAAAAAGAAUUUACUUGUAUAUCGACAAUAAAAUAAAUGAAAUAAAUGUAGAUACUUAAUUAAUAUUUUUAAUAAAACAAAAUUUUUGGACUAAUAGAAUCUACCUGACCUUUUUAAUGUCUUAAAUAAAAAUUUAAGACUUUAAUUAGUUAAUUAGGCCUAAAAGUUUAAUAAUAUAACUAUUUUAAUAUUUGUUACUUUUACCAAUAUUUAUAAUUUUAAAAUAUAAUUCAAAUUUUAUUAUUUAUUUACUAGUAAUUUUAAAAAAUAAAAAUAAAAUUAAAAAUUAAAAUGGGGAAAUGGGGAGGGGAUGGGCAUUCCACCUCAUCCCUGCCCCUUCCCCGAAUAAGAAACUAGGCAAAACAUUUUUUCCGUCCCUUCCCCGAAUAAGAAAUUGGGUAUAGAAUUAUCCCCGUACCCUCUCCGAAUGGGAAAAAUCCCCGAGGGUACCCGUCCCCGAAUGAGAAAUUGGGUGUAGAAUUUAUUCUACUUUUUCUCAUAAUUUCAUGAAGAGAAAGAAGUAUCAUAUUUGCUAUUGUUUUGUAGAGAAAAUUUUUUGAUUAAAAUAAUAUAUUUAUACUUUUAUUUAAAGAAUCUUUUAAUUUUUUUCCACUCUUUCAUUUACAAUAUAUAAGAGUAAAUAAAUAUUUAAAGAAUUAAAUUUAGAAGAAUAUUUUAGUGAUCCUCUUAGAUCUACUUAGUGUCUGUUUGGUAUAAUUUAUGUAAUGCUCAUAAGUAUUUAUUUAAUCUCAUAAAUUCUUAUCAUAAUUUUUGUUACUGUUUUUUUUAGAGAUUUUACAGUUUAAAUAAGUUAUUUUAUUUCUACUAAUAAAAUCUCAAAUUAGGAGUAGAGAUUGAAAUUUUUUUAAAUAUUAAAAUAUCUAAAAUAUUCUCUUCUUAUUUAAUAUUUUUUUCAUAACAUAACUUUAAAAACUUGUCUAUUAAAAUAAUUUCAUAAAUUUUUAAUAAAUUUUUUUAUUAACAAUCAACAACUAAAAUUUUUUAAGUAAAAAAAUUAUUUAUAAAAAUUUUAUUAUCAAAAACUCUAUUUACCAUACAUGUUCUCUUCGUGUAAAGCCUUUUGCAGCAAGAUGCGCCUUGUAUCUCUCCACAUUGCCUUUCGAAUCCCUCUUGGUUAUAAAUAUCCAUUUGUAACCAAUAGGUUUCGCAACUUCUAGUGAUGGGACAAAAUCUAUACUCAAUAUGCACCAUGAGCUUAAUAUUCCUUAUUAGUGCCAAUUAAAUCAUGAGGGGGGUUUCUACUCCUCAUGAAUCAUAUUUUAAUCAAUAUGGUGCUAAGGGCUUAUUGUGCUAAAUAGAAAUAACAUUGCACUGGGGAGCCGGUUAUACCAGUGCAGUAUCUAGACAAGAUUAUUACUAUCUAUCGACGAAAAGUCAAAACAUCCACAUAAAUCAAAGGGGAAGAGAAAGUAAAUUUACCAAAUAAAGCCCAAGGAACAUGUUGAGACUUCACAUUCAAUCCAAACUUGAAAGAAAAUUAACUACUCAUAAUCGAACUAGGGGUAAAAAUGAAAAUUUAUUAAAAUACGUAGAAAAUACAAGAUGAAGAAUGAAUUAUAGAAAAUGGAGCUAAAAAAUGAAUUCAGGGGUGUCAAAUUAGAGGGGAGCCCCCUAUUUAUAGAUAUAACGAGUAAAUCAUGACCGUUAGAUUAAAAUGAUUUGGACACUUAGGAUUGCGCCGCGUGACAAAUUCUGAUUGGAUAGAACACAUCAUCAGGGCUGUCAUUUCGUGUAUAUGCAUGUAUCGUACGCACGUUUUUCGAUCCACUAACAUAUUCCAGGUCACCGGUCAACUCCACAUAAUCCUUUUAGUCCAAUAAGAUCGUGACACAUCAUCAGUCAACGCCAACUCAUCAGUCAACGCCACAUAAGUAGUCAAGCCAUAUCAUACGUCCAAUCGAAUGCUGCCACAUCAUUGAUUAUUGCCAUAUCAUCGGUCCGUAUAUGUGAACAAUGUCGUGAAUAGUACCGUAAACAAUAUCGUAAAUGUGAACAGUGCCAUACAUGUGAACAUUGCCGUGCAUGUGAAUUGUGUUAUUUACCCUUUUAUACUCCUAAGGUUUUCGACUGUCAUGAGUUCAAAAUGUUAUCCAUUUUGCUGUCUGAUUUCUCGUUCCUUGUGAAAUGACCAUGAUGCUCCCUAAAAUAUAUAAAAUACUUAAUUAUAAUACAACACACAUAAUUAAAUCACAAGGGACUUAAAUACAUAAAAAUAGGGAUGUUAACAAGACUUGGAGUGUAAAAUGGCAAUUUUCUCCUUUAUAAAUAUACAAUUUCUAACACUCAACACACCCCCCAAUCAGCUUAUUGCUAGUUCCUAGCAAAUAAAGCGAAGACAAAAUUCAAACCCAAAAUGAUUUUUUUAAAACAAUCGUGUUUAUUCAAUCAGACUAAUGAUAACAAUCAAAUAAAAAUAUAAGCAUAAUCUCCAGCCUAAAGAAAUAUCAUCCCCACAUCAACUGUCCAUAUAAAUUAGUCCAGUAGACUUUAUCAUGGCUACAAUAAUCAAGCCACUUUCAAGAAUGACAUGUCAAACAAAAAAUCUCACCGGUAGUAGUGAUACUUUCACAAAGAAAUUAAACCUAAUAAAAAUAGUCAAUGCAAUGAAUGGUAAAUUGAAAGAAAAUAAUAAAGAAGUAAUACCACACACUCUCACCAAGAUGAAAGAAAUAUACCCACAGCUUAAAACUAACACGAUCUUAAGUCAAACAAAAUGCCAGUCAAACCAAUGUUCCGCACUUGUUUAAUCACCUACAAUUAUGCAUAUGAUUUAAGCACACAAUUUAUUCUAAAUCAAACAAAACUUAUUAAAAGUAAACUAAAAUGUAUGUUCAUUCAAAACAUUACUAAAAUGCAAUAAAAACAUGUCAUUUACUCUCUAAGUAAUCAUGAUUUAAGUCUAAAAGUGCUAUGAUAACUCACAUUUUAUAGAGUUAUCAGUUGGCCAACUCAACCAACUAUUGUGGAAUUUAAAAUUAGCUUACUGGCAAGAAGUAACUGGCAAACAAAUGAGUGGGGCCACAGUAAAAAAUGAGGAGGGAAAUAUUUUUCACUGAUAAUAAGAGACAUUAAUUUAGAUGACAUAUUGGUUGUAGAUCUAAAUAAGAUGUUAAUAAGUUAAUAGGUAAUUAACUAGAAGGUAGCUCACAAAUGAGGGGAACAUAAAGGAAUCACGAUAAUGGUGGCUAGUACAAGCCAAAGAAAAAGUUUAAAGGGAAUUGCUACAACUGAGGAAAGACAAACCAUAUGGUGAAUAUUACUGGUCUAUGAAAAAGUUUAAAGAGAGUAAUGCAGCCACUUCCAAUCAAAAGAAGGAUAAUGACGAGGAAUGGGAAGCCGAAGCAUCAAUCACUAUUGAGGAAAAGAAACGGGCCUCACAGUCACAAUACCUAGCCAACUUAACUACGAGAGUAAUUGGAUCGUUGAUCUAGGAUGUUUAUAUCACAUGAUUAGUGAUAGAAAGAAGCUACAAGACAUGACUAAAUACAAAGAAGGUCGUGUGGUAGUAAUAGUAAAUAACUUGUAACUGCCAAUAGCUCACGUUGGCACUAUAGUUCUGACAUUUCAAUAUAGUUCAUUAUAAAAUAUCACUUUAAGACGUGCAUUAUGUUCUAAAUAUGAAGAAAACCCUACUUUCAAUAUCAUAACUAACAUCAUUAAGCAACUAUGUUUUGUUCAGUCUUCAAGAUGUUAAAGUGUAUCAAGAUGUAAAAAUCUCAGGGACACUUACAAUAGCAAAACAAAGGUUUGAGUUAAUUCAUUUAUUAUCAGUAGAGUUUGCUUAUAUAGACAAGACUCGAAAGAACGAGACAAUAGAUUUAUUACAUGCUCGGUUGGGACAUGUUAGCUACAACAAGUUGAAAGUGAUUAUGAACAAGUCAAUGCUCAGAGGUCUGCCUAAACUUAAUGUGCGAAUAAACAAGGUGUUUAUAGAGUCUCAAUAUGGUAAAGCUCACCAACUCUCAUAUGAGGAGUCGAAGUUUAGAGUAAAAGAGCCAUUGAAGUUGGUAAACUCUAACGAGUUUGGUCCUAUUAAUCAACCUUCUAUUAGUGGCAUACGAUGCAUGGUCACAUUUAUCAAUGACUUCUCUGGGUAUGUCUGAUUCUUCUUACGAAAAGAAAUUUGCUACUUUUUUAAUAUUUAAAGUAUUCAGAUAGCCCAAGCAAAAUUAAAAAGCAGGUUUGUUGUCUACAAAUAGACAAUGUAGAAGAGUAUACAUUACAUGAGUUCUCUUAGUACAUAUCUUCGAGAUUAUAAGAUACGCCAUCAGUUCACUUGUGCCAAUAUACCAUAACAGAAUAGCGUAGCAGAACAAAAAAAUCGAUAUCUAGCGAAGAUCUAUUGAAGUAUGAUACAUCCAAAGAAUGUACUAGAGAGGUUUUGGGUCGAAGCUAUGAAGAUAGCAACUCAUGUGAUUAAUAGAGUUUCUCAACUGAAAUUGGGGGUCAUAUCACUUUACGAGAAGCUAUGAAAUGUGACACCUACAGUCAUGAACUUUUGUGUAUUUGGUUGUGUAUGCUAUGUCUUUGUGCACACAUGAAGGUAAAGAUUUACAAUAUAGAACAAUGUAUCAACAAUUGGUAGGUAGUUUAAUCUACCUAAUGCUGAAUCAACCGAAUAUUUCAUAUGUCAUAGGUGUCAUGAGUUGGUAAAUGCAAAAUCCAAAGAAGCUUCACUUGGAAGUAGUUCUGCGAAUACUAAGAUAUGUGAAGAGUACAAACAACUAUGGUUCAUUGUGCAAGAAAGUUGAAAUUACAAGCUGACUAGCUAUUGUGACGCUGACUACGCCGGAGAUCAUGAUACAAAAAGAUUAACUACUAGGUAUGUUUUCAGAAUUAGGUCUGGAGUAGUUUUUUAGUGUAGUAAGAGACAACCAACUGUAUCACUAUCAACCACAGAGGCAGAGUAUAAAACAAUAGUGAUGACAGCUAAAAAAAACACUUGGUUGAUGUAGUUGAUCAAGGAUCUACACCAACUAGUAGAUUAUGUAUGCAAUACCAUUGUAUUACGAUAGUCAAUCGAUAAUCAACUUGGUAGAAAAUCUAGUUUUCCAUGCAAGAACUAAGCAUGUAGAGGUCCAUUAUCACUUCAUCAGGGAAAAGGUCUUACAAGAUAAAGUUGAGAUGCAGUACGUCAAGACAAACAAUUAACUAACGGAUUUUUUUUUUAUAAAAAAGUCUUUGUACCAUGAAGUUUAAAAAGUUUCGUUAGCAGCUUAAUAUGGAUCGAAGGAUGAAACUUGGUUUUGAGGGGGAGUGUUAAAAGUGCAACACCAAUUUUAUGAUCCAAUUAAAUAACAUUUGUCCAAACCCAAGUUCAAAGCUCAAUCCAUAGAAGACUUAAGAAUUGUGUAGAGAACAUGGGACAUUUCUAAUCUAAAAAUAUUUAAUGAUGAUGAAAAUAUCUUAUUUUAGAAAUCUCUUGAACAGUGGUAUUUAUAAAAUGUGAUUGUUAAAUUUUUAUAAUUUAAUGUUUUGUGUGGUUUGUAUUAGUUUUAGGAUACUAUAAAUACUGUUAAACUCUUUGUUGUAGGCAUCAAGAGAGGAGUGAAGAAUUAGUAGGAAGAAAAAGUAUUGUAGUAUUUUUCUUAUAAAAUAUCAAUAAAAUCCUUUAAUUUAGUAAAAUUCUUCUAUUUCUUAAAUAUUUUCAGUCUUAAGCAGCUUCGUCCUUCUUUCUCAACAAAAGCAUUCCAUUUAGUAUAUGAAAAGAAAGUUGUGAGCUUGUGAAGAGAGAAUAAUUAGAAUAUCUUUUGCAAUUGUUAUUUUCCCAAUUUUAAGUAACAGAGUUGCUUUCUCCUAGUAUAAGAGAGAUUGUAAUUGUUCUAUCCUUGUAUUCAAAGAAAAUUGUUAUAAUCCUCAUUUGAAUAGUGAAUUCUUUCUACUUUUGUUGUGGAUUUUUAACCCGGUUUAUUUGGAAUUUUUUCCACUUAAAAUUUUUGUGUCCCAUAUAUCUUCAUUUGUUCUUAAUAUCACUUUGGUUACGGUCUGAUACGGUCCUUAAUUUCCUAAUAGAAAACAACUGAAACCAUCCAAUAACGAGAGUGAUCUCUGAAAGCUCCAUUGCAGAACAUGGAUAACCGCUGCUUAGGCCAUCUGUAUUAACUUUUACCCAGCCAUGCACUAUCGGGCAAAUUUUAUCAAAAUAUUGAAAAUGAGAGGUAUAACCAGCUUGUAUUAGAUGAAAGGAGGAUGGGGUGUUUUCAUAUCGUAGCUCUGUCACGGCAUCGAUGUGAAGAAGAUGAGUUGGUCAUGUCUAAUUAACAAAAAAAAAAAAAAAAUCCUUUCUGCUAAUCCCAAUUUCAAAGCUUUCUUGUGUCGGACUUUAAUUCUAACUUUGUGAUAUCACACUUUCAAUGGUUAUUUUACCUUUAUAUUCACUAUUGACUGAUAGGGGUGAAAUGAAUAAUUAAAACUCUAUUAUGGAUAUAAAUAACAAAAAAAAAAUUUAUGUGUCGCGGAACUGGUACUCAUAUGAAAAUAACAUUUGACAAUAUCGAACCAUUGGAGCACUAAAUAAAUUAUAGCAUUAUAUAAAAGGGGAUUUGAAUACAUGCUCAUGUUAUGCCCUACGGACUUUCUUUUGUAUUUGUUGGCAAAAAUUUGCAGAUCGUAGAUAUUUGCCCCUAAGGUAACAAAACUGCAAAAGCAUUUCGUGGGUAACAAGUACUCGGGCUUUUAUCUAGAAUAUCUUUACUCGUCAAUACCAAUAAAUCACUUAGAUUUUAUGGGCUACGGAUGGAAAUUGUUAAAUUCAUUAUUUGUAGAGUUUGCAUUUUAUGGCAAGUCUAGUUAAAUUAGAAUUUUAUUUAUUGUAUAUCUUGUAAUAGUGAUUAAUUUAUUAAUUUCCUAAUUUAAUGAGAUUUCAAUUUAUUAAGAAUAUUUAUUUCCUAAUUUAAUUAGAUGGCUAACUUAACAAGUCAAUUAAUGAUGUGAUUCUAUAAUUGGCGCAUGAGCUCUAUUUAGAGUAAUAAGUCGGUUUAAACAAGAAGUUUAUUAAAUGCUUUAAAUAUUUCUAGGGAGACAAGCAAUGUAAGAAAAUUAGAUUUAAUCCUAUUCAGAUUCAUAGGAAUUAUAAAAGAAAAUAAACUCUUAUUUGGAAAGAAUCAAAAUCUUUUAAGAGUUACUACUUUUGUGAAACUCCAGUGCCUAUAUAAAGAGAGGUAUUUCACAAUUGAAGGUGCAUAACACUGAGCACAAAGUAGGGAAGCAAAAUUCGGCCUUCUCCCUAAAGAAUCCUAAUUUGGCAAAUAAUAUUGUGUUGAUUUAUUUACUUAUCUUCUUUUCAUAUUUGUGUAGAGUCUAUGUGAAUCUUGGAUCACUAGACAUUAAAAAAUUGAAGAAUUGCUAUUGAUCACUUUGCGAAGUGCAUUAAGUAUCGUGGAUCAAGAGGGGUAACAAUUAUUUAAGAGAAGCAAAUUCAGUCUGUAUAGUGAUAAACUGUAAGUGAGAGUUUUAAGUUUGAUAAAUCUAUGGUUGUAACAUUUCAACUUAGUGAAUUGCUUUUCAUCUGAGCGUGACCUCGUGGAUGUAGAAUUAAUUAAUCCGAAUCAUGUAAAAAUCUAUGUACCAUUUAAUUUCUGUAAUUUAUUGUGUUUUUGAAAAAUUAAUAUUUUGAUGCGGAUAAACAAUAAGCGUAAACAUUAACUAUAAACAAUAAGCAUAAACAAUAAUGAUGAAUAGUGGUAAACAAUAUUUCCGAAAGUUAAUUAAGUUGUUAAUUUUAAAUUUUUAAUUACCUACAUCUAAAUUGCCUACAUCUAGUGCAAUUUUGAAAGGUAUUAAAUUGGCAGAGGACUUGGGGUUUCUUCCGCUACUGAUAGAGUCCGAUUCAGUUAAUGUCAUUAGUCUCAUCUCAGGAAAAAUUAACAGCGAAUUAGAGAUUGAUUGGCUAAUAUCUGAUAUUAAAAGUUUUAUUUUUAAGAAAAGUGCGUUUGCUAUAAGACACAUUCCCAAAUCCGGUAAUUCAGCAGCUCACAAAGCUGCAAAAAUGGCUCUUGAUCAUGCUGAGUUGCGCACAUGGUUACAGGAUGCGCCUCCUGACAUUAUACCUCUCUUGUAGUGUUAUGGUGUAAUCAAUGAAAAUUUUAUUGUAAAAAAAAAAUCCUUUCAGAAAUUAAUAUAUACUCUUUUUUUUUUUGAUACAUUGGAGCCGAACGGAGAAUAAAGAUCCCAUAUAUAUCAUUACAUAACCAAUAACCAAGACCCUCGGGGGAAGAAAUUAAUAUAUACUCUUUUAAUGUGGAAAAUCCCUUCGGAAUUAGUUCGAUAAAUACAAUAUUCAUCCAGUUACCGCAGGCUAAUAAUGCUCAUCCUGGAUAACUCAUGUCGCUUUUUACAUAUGCUGUAAUCUAAUUGGUGUGAUUAUCUUUGUAGCCCUACCUUGUCACUUGGCCAGAAUCGAGGUUAUAUAUAUGGCCAUGCAAUUAUACAUGAAAAAAGAAUAUCUUUCCAGUAGUUCAUUUGCCCUUUCAUAUAGAGCAUACUAAGGAUAUAUAUAUCGGAAACCUGAGAAAACUAAUGAGAUAUUUGAAGGUUAAAGGGGAAGCCGGCUCCGUUAUUAAAAGCAAACUUCAUUAUUUAUUUAUAGACUAGAGUCAAGGAGCUUCACCCGUUACACACUUGAAUCCUUUUUCUAGGCACCAUAAAGGAUCCCAACAAUUAUACAUUACAAGUCAUUGCCUUUAUUUAUAGACCAGACACAAGGCGCUCUGCCCAUACAACAUACUUGGAACAUUUUUAAAGGCACACUAAAAGACCAUCCACAACAAAACAUUGAUUCGAUCAUUACACUGGAGGUCGCCUUUUCAUCGGAAAUUGAGAUUUACCUUACCAAGAGGUAAUAUCAACGUUACACAAAACAUGAAAUAUAACCAUGUCUAACCUUAUAUCUAGAUUAGAUUACACAGUACACACCAGCUUAAUUAUCUUACAGUAGUAUUCAAUUGGAAUACAAACGCCAAUACACUUUACCAUCGAAAGUAUGAUCAGAAUCCAGAACAUUUCCAUGAGGUACCUCUAUAAGAUUAAUCUGCAAAACAAGAGAACCUCCUUCCUGCACAUGACGAUCUUUAUACAGUUCAUCUAAUUGAACCAUAGUUCUAAGGCCAUGAAUAGGACGCUUUUUAUCAAUAGGCCUAUAACCAUUAGUAUAACCAGAUGCAACAACAUCAAAAGAUGCUUCAGCAUCAAUAUUAUUGGCGGCUGCAGGAGGCAGAUCUCCUCUCCAAGCAUCCUCGUUAGCUCUGGGAACAAAUAGGACGGCCCAAGAAACAAUAGGAGCCCAACUUCGACCAAACAAACCAAAAUCCAUCCUAUUCAAGUUCUUCAAAACACCAGGAUCUGCAUAACGCAGAAAAAAGUAGUCUGAUUUAAAACCUAUCAAUUUUCGCUGAUCACACGCCAUAUCUUAUUAAUGAAAAAUAAGCGCUCAGAAUCAGAUCACUUGCCUCAGAAAUUAUUUUCGUUGCUCUGUCACUCUUUUUUCUGCUGCCGUCCAAAGACAUUUUCACGUCUAUUUAUGCAAGGGAGGAAUUCGAACACAAACAAAUCACAAAUAAUUAUUAAUUAAUUAUAAUAGGACUCUUAAUUAAUGCAUUCCAGCAUCUCCUUCUGCAACGUGUCUGGCGACGUGGUUUUGUCUUCGUCUGUGCUCCGCCUUUCAUUUCUUUGGAUAUCUUCGUCAUAGGUAUUAGAGCCUAGAUAAGGUUAGGUAGAUGAUACAGAGUCCUCUUCAAAAGGAUUUUGUUACCUUAUAUGUAAUAUAUGUAACGUAAGGUUGGUUUUAGAGCUCAAUAAAAAAUUAGAUAAAAAAAAUUGGAUAAAAAAUUAGGUAAAAAAAUUAGAUAAAAAAUUUUUUUUUUCUUCAAAUAAAAAAUUGGAUAAAAAAAUUUUCUCAUUCCUUCACUGAAUAAAAAAUUAAGUUUAAAAUUAUCCAUGUAUUCUCUCCGAAUGAAAAAAAUUUCCAAAAAUAUCCGUUCUCGUGGGAAUUUUUGUCAUCCCUAAAAUUCCAUUGGCUUCGUGUUGCAACUCAGCAACAGAAUCGACAAUGAAAUUUCUUUAUCCAUUUUUCACGUGCACAGCCAUAAUAAAGAAAAAAAAAUAUCACAAUUGUGUGUAUAUGCUGGUGGGUCCCUUUUCAAAUUUGACAAGAGGAUUUUAAUUUCUUGUGGAAUUUGUGUUACUUCAAAUCAUUUUAUAGAAAAUAAUUUCAUUGGCUUCGUAUUGCAAUUCUGCAACAGAAUGUCAAAUCGACAAUGAAAUUUCUUUGUCCAUUUUUCACGUGCACAACCAUAAAAAAAAUAUAUAUAUAUCACAAUUGUAUGUAUAUGCUGGUGGGUCCCUUUUCAAAUUUGACUAGAGGAUUUUAAUUUCUUGUGGAGUUUGUAUUACUUUAAAUCAUUUUAUAGAAAUUAGGGAUGGCAAUGGGGAGAGGAGAGGAGGGGAGGGGACCAAUCUCCAUGUAUCUAUCCCCGAUAUAUUGCGUAUGUUCUCGUCCCCUCCCCAUCCCCGUCAUAAUUACUUGAGAGAAUCUCCUUUUCCUCUCCGAAUAAUAACAGGGGAUCUCUAAGGGUCUCCGAUCCCUGAAUAACUAAUAUAUAUUUUUUAUUUUGAGUUAAUUAUAUUAAAAUAAAAAAUCCAAACAAAAGUAAAGUUCGAAAUAUAUUUUACAUUAACAUUGAUCCAUUAUAAAAGUCACAUGCAAAAUAUAAAUUAUCAAAAUAAUUAUCUUUGUCAAUCUUCAUAAUCUUACAAUAAAAAGAAAAAGAAUUUACUUUUAUAUCGACAAUAAAAUAAAUGAAAUAAAUGUAGAUACUUAAUUAAUAUUUUUAAUAAAACAAAAUUAAAAUUAAAACAAAAUUUUUGGGCUAAUAGAAUCUACCCGACCUUUUUAAUGUCCUAAAUAAAAAUUUAAAACUUUAAUUAGUUAAUUAGGCCUAAAAGUUUAAUAAUAUAAAUAUUUUAAUAUUUGUUACUUUUACCAAUAUUUAUAAUUUUAUAAUAUAAUUCAAAAUUUAUUAUUUAUUUACUAGUAAUUUUAAAAAAUAAAAAUAAAAUUAAAAAUUAAAAUAGGAAAAUGGGGAGGAGAUGGUGAUUCCACCUCAUCCCCGCCCCUUUCGCAAAUAAGAAACUAGGUAAAAAAAAUUUUCGGUCCCUUCCCCGAAUAAGAAAUUGGGUAUAAAAUUAUUCGCGUACCCUCCCAGAAUGGGAAAAAUCCUCAAGGGUACCCGUCCCCGAAUGAAAAAUUGGGUAUAAAAUUUAUUCUACUUUUUCUCAUAAUUUCAUGAAGAGAAAGAAGUAUCAUAUUUGCUAUUGUUUUUGUAGAGAAAUUUUUUUUAUUAAAAUAAUAUAUUUAUACUUUUUUUUAAAGAAUCUUUUAAUUUUUUUCCACUCUUUCAUUUACAAUAUAUAAAAGUAAAUAAAUAUUUAAAGAAUUAAAUUUAGAAGAAUAUUUUAGUGAUCCUCUUAGAUCUACUUAGUGUCUGUUUAGUAUAAUUUAUGUAAUGCUCAUAAGAAUUUAUUUAAUCUCAUAAAAUCUUAUCAUAAUUUUUGUUACUGUUUAUUUUUUUUUAGAGAUUUUACAGUUUAAAUAAAUUAUUUUAUUUCUACUAAUAAAAUCUCAAAUUAAGAGUAGAGAUUGAAAUUUUUUUAAAUAUUUAAAUAUUUAAAAUAUUCUCUACUUAUUUAAUAUUUUUUUCAUAACAUAAUUUUAAAAAUUUAUCUAUUAAAAUAAUUUCAUAAAUUUUUAAUAUAAUUUUUUAUUAACAAUCAACAAUUAAAAUUUUUUAAAUAAAAAAUUUAUUUAUAAAAAUUUUAUUAUCAAAAACUUUAUUUAAAUAAAUUUUAUUUAAAAAAUUAUAUUAAACGGAGCCUUACCCUCCUGAAUCGCGAUACCAUAACUGAUACCAUAACUAUUUUGAAGAAAUGGAAGAAUGGAAAGAAUUGAAAAGACAAAAUCGCGUUGUAAAAGAGGACGUGGAUCAACGUACUGAGGCCACUAAUGACAAAUAGCUACACAUUUUGAAGUAGACUCCCAGCGUCUACCAAACCUAAACAGGUACAGAGACCUUUUGUUUUGUUUUUGACAAUAUGUGCAGAUACGUACGAAUGCAUUAAUUAAUGAAAAGCAGAGGGUAGAAGAAAACAAAGCUAAGUCGCCAGACACGUUGCAGAAGGGAUUCUGGAAUGCAUGAAUUAAGGGGUCUUAAGUAUUCAAUAGUGACUUCUUUUUUGUGUUUUUCCAUAAGAAGAUGCCGGAAUGCAUUAAUUAAGAGGCCCACUGUGAUUAAUUCAUAACUACCAGUAAUUUGUUUUUUUUUUACAAUAGGUACAGUUACGUAUGACUGAAGAAAUAAAAAAAAAAUGAAAAGCAGAGGGUAGAAGAAAACAAAGCUAAUUCCAUUGGCUUCGUGUUGCAGCUCUGUAACAGAUUGUCAAAUCGAUAAUGAAAUUUCUUUCUCCAUUUUUCACGUGCACAGCCAUAAAAAAAGAAAAAAAAAUCACAAUUGUAUGUAUAUGCUAAUGGGUCCCUUUUCGAAUUUGACAAGAGGAUUUUAAUUUCUUGUGGAAUUUAUGUUACUUCAAAUUAUUUUAUUAAAAUUAGGAAUGGCAAUGGAGAGCGGAGAGGAGGGGAUCAAUUUCUUUGUAUAUAUUCUCGAUAUUUUGCGUAUGUCCCCGUCUCCUUUCUAUUUCCGUCAUAAUUACUUGAGAGAAUUUUCUUUUCCUCCCCGAAUAAUAACAGGGAAUCUCUGAGGAUCCUUGAUCCCCAAAUAACUAAUACAUAUUUUUUUUAUUUUUAAUUUUGAGUUAAUUACAUUAAAAUAAAAAAUUCAAACAAAAGUAAAGUUCGAAAUAUAUUUUACAUUAACAUUGAUCCAUUAUAAAAGUCUCAUGCAAAAUACAAAUUAUCAAAAUAAUUAUCUUUGUCAAUCUUCAUAAUCCUACAAUAAAAAAAAAGAAUUUACUUUUAUAUCGACAAUAAAAUAAAUAAAAUAAAUGUAGAUACUUAAUUAAUAUUUUUAAUAAAACAAAAUUUUUGGGCUAAUAGAAUCUACCCGACCUUUUUAAUGUCCUAAAUAAAAAUUUAAAACUUUAAUUAAUUAAUUAGACCUAAAAGUUUAAUAAUAUAAAUAUUUUAAUAUUUGUUACUUUUACCAAUAUUUAUAAUUUUAUAAUAUAAUUCAAAAUUUAUUAUUUAUUUACUAGUAAUUUUAAAAAAUAAAAAUUAAAUUAAAAAUUAAAAUAGGGAAAUGGGGAGGGGAUGGGGAUUCCACCUCAUCCCCGCCCCUUCCCCAAAUAAGAAAUUAGAUAAAAACAAUUUCUCCGUUCCUUUCCCAAAUAAAAAAUUGGGUAUAAAAUUAUCCCCGUAUCCUCCCUGAAUGGAAAAAAUCUCUAAAAGUACCCAUCCCUAUGGGGAUUUUUGCCAUCCCUAAAAUUCCAUUGGCUUCGUGUUGCAACUCUGCAACAGAUUGUCAAAUCGACAAUGAAAUUUCUUUGUCCAUUUUUCACAUGCACAGCCAUAAAAAAGAAAAAAAAAUAUCACAAUUGUAUGUAUAUGCUGGUGGGUCCCUUUUCAAAUUUGACAAGAGGAUUUUAAUUUCUUGUGGAAUUUGUGUUACUUCAAAUCAUUUUAUAAAAAUUAGGGAUGGCAAUGGGGUGGGGAGGGGAGGGGAGGGGAGGGGAGGAGACCAAUCUCCAUGUAUCCAUUCCUGAUAUAUUGCGUAUGUCCUCGUCCCCUCCCCAUCCCCGUCAUAAUUACUUGAGAGAAUCUCAUUCUCCUCUCCGAAUAAUAACAAGGGAUCCCUAAGGGUCUCCGAUCCCCGAAUAACUAAUAUAUUUUCUUUUAUUUUGAGUUAAUUAUAUUAAAAUAAAAAAUUCAAACAAAAGUAAAGUUCGAAAUAUAUUUUACAUUAACAUUGAUCCAUUAUAAAAGUCACAUGCAAAAUAUAAAUUAUCAAAAUAAUUAUCUUUGUCAAUCUUCAUAAUCUUACAAUAAAAAGAAAAAGAAUUUACUUUUAUAUCGACAAUAAAAUAAAUGAAAUAAAUGUAGAUACUUAAUUAAUAUUUUUAAUAAAACAAAAUUAAAAUUAAAACAAAAUUUUUGGGCUAAUAGAAUCUACCCGACCUAUUUAAUGUCCUAAAUAAAAAUUUAAAACUUUAAUUAGUUAAUUAAGCCUAAAAGUUUAAUAAUAUAAAUAUUUUAAUAUUUGUUACUUUUACCAAUAUUUAUAAUUUUAUAAUAUAAUUCAAAAUUUAUUAUUUAUUUACUAGUAAUUUUAAAAAAUAAAAAUAAAAUUAAAAAUUAAAAUAGGGAAAUGGGGAGGGGAUGGGGAUUCCACCCCAUCCCCGCCCCUUUCCCAAAUAAGAAACUGGGUAAAAAAAAUUUCCCGUCUCUUCCCCGAAUAAGAAAUUGGGUAUAGAAUUAUUCUCGUACCCUCCCCGAAUGGGAAAAAUCCCCAAGCGUACCCGUCCCCGAAUGAAAAAUUGGGUAUAAAAUUUAUUCUACUUUUUCUCAUAAUUUCAUGAAGAGAAAGAAGUAUCAUAUUUGCUAUUGUUUUUGUAGAGAAAAUUUUUUGAUUAAAAUAAUAUAUUUAUACUUUUUUUAAAAGAAUUUUUUAAUUUUUUUUCCACUCUUUCAUUUACAAUAUAUAAAAGUAAAUAAAUAUUUAAAGAAUUAAAUUUAGAAGAAUAUUUUAGUGAUCCUCUUAGAUCUACUUAGUGUCUGUUUGGUAUAAUUUAUGUAAUGCUCAUAAGUAUUUAUUUAAUCUCAUAAAAUCUUAUUAUAAUUUUUGUUAUUGUUUAUUUUUUUUUAGAGAUUUUACAGUUUAAAUAAGUUAUUUUAUAUCUACUAAUAAAAUCUCAAAUUAGGAGUAGAGAUUGAAAUUUUUUUAAAUAUUAAAAUAUCUAAAAUAUUCUCUACUUAUUUAAUAUUUUUUUCAUAACAUAACUUUAAAAACUUAUCUAUUAAAAUAAUUUCAUAAAUUUUUAAUAAAAAUUUUUAUUAACAAUCAACAACUAAAAUUUUUUAAAUAAAAAAUUUAUUUAUAAAAAUUUUAUUAUCAAAAACUCUAUUUAAAUAAAUUUUAUUUAAAAAAUUAUAUUAAACCGAGCCUUACCCUCGCGAAUGGCGAUACCAUAACUAUUUUGAAGAAAUGGAAGAAUGGAAAGAAUUGAAAAGGCAAAACCGCGUUGUAAAAGAGGACGUGGAUCAACUUACCGAGGCCACUAAUGACAAAUAGCUACACAUUUUGAAGUAGACUCCCAGCGUCUACCAAACCUAAACAGGUACAGAGACCUUUUGUUUUGUUUUUGACAAUAUGUGCAGAUACGUACGAAUGCAUUAAUUAAUGAAAAGCAGAGGGUAGAAGAAAACAAAGCUACGUCGCCAGACACGUUGCAGAAGGGAUUCUGGAAUGCAUUAAUUAAGGGGUCUUAAGUAUUCAAUAGUGACUUCUUUUUUGUGUUUUUCCAUAAGAAGAUGCUGGAAUGCAUUAAUUAAGAGGCCCACUGUGAUUAAUUCAUAACUACUAGUAAUUUGUUUGUAUUCGAGUUGCUCCUUUGUAUAACUAGGCGUGAAAAUGAGUAUUUGGUGGGGUGGUGGAGUCGAGGGUGCUAAGAGCAACAAAACUAAAUUCUGAAGCAAUUGUUCUGACUCUUGAGUGCUUAUAUUUAUUUCAUUAAUCUCGGAAGAUAUGGCGUCUCAUAAGGUGCCUGGUAAUCGCAAAUUGAUAGGUGCCAAAUCAGAAUACUAUUUUAUGCUUUAUGCAGGUACUGAAGAAGUGAAGAGCUACGACCGGAUUGAUUUUGGUAUGUUUGGUCGGAGUUGGGCUCCCAUUGUUUCUUGGGCCGUGAUAGUGGUUCCCCACGAGCCGGAGAGUAAUUGGAGAAAAAAUUUACCUCCUCCAAGUGUCAAUAAUAUGGACCCCGCUAGCUCGCUUUGUGUCAUUGCAUCUGGUUCUUCUAAUGGUUAUAAGCCUAUAGGUGAUGAUAAACAUGAUCGUCCUUUUCAUGGCGUUAGAACUACAGUUCGAUUGAACAAAUUGAAAUAUGAUCGUGAAGUGUUGCGCGGAGGUUCUCUUGUUUUGGAGAUUAAUCUUCUAGAGGUUUUUUCCGGAGGAGAUGUUGUGGAUUCUGAUCAUACUUUUGAUGGUCAAGUGUUCUGGAACUUGUACUCGAAUUGAAUAUUGUACGGUGAGAUAAGUUGAUGUGUGUAUUAAUGGUAUUAUCUAAUAUAAACAUAGGAUUGGACAUAUAGUUGUGUCAAUGUAUUGUGUAAUUUAACUACCUCUAGAUAAUAUUAUCGUUUGUGUAAUGAUUGUAAUUGAUGUUUUGUUGGAGGAUCCUUUAGUAUGCUUAUAAAAAGGAUUCAAGUGUGUUGUAACGAGCAGAGCUCUUCUAAGUCUAGUCCAUAAAUAAAUAAAAGAGUUGACUAUAAUGUAAUAUUGUGGGGUCUUCUACUGUGUCUAUAAAAAGGAUCCAAGUGUGUUGUAAUAUGAGUAGAGAUUCAUGAAUUUAGUCUAUAAAUAAAUUAAACAAGUGGUUUAUAUAGUUCUUUUAUGAACAUGUAUGGUCUCAUUUCCUUCAUAAAGCAAUGUAUAGACGUAGAGAUUCAUGAAUUUAGUCUAUAAAUAAAUUAAACAAGUGUUUUAUAUAGUCCUUUUAUGAACAUGUAUGGUCUCAUUUCCUUCAUAAAGCAAUGUAUAGCCGUUGUGACAAAAUCUUAUUACUCAAGUUUACUCAUGAAUCCUUGAAUUUAGUGUAUAAAAAAAAUUAAACAAGUGUUUUAUAUAGUCCUUUUAUGAACAUGUAUGGUCUCAUUUCCUUCAAAAAGCAAUGUAUAGCCGUUGUGACAAAAUCUUAUUACUCAAGUUUACUCAUGAAUCCUUUACACAAAUGUAUAGCGGUUGUGACAAAACCUUAUUACUCAAGUUUACUCAUGAAUCCUUUACACAAAUGUUACAAAUGUAUAAUAACAAAAUUGAAAAGUCAUUUUCACACGUUACAAAUAUAUACUAACAAAACUGAAAUAACAUUAUUACAAGUUAGAACAAUAUGUAAUAACAAAAAAUAAAUAAAUAAACUCGAGGCUUGUAAAGUUAAUAGUUUAUUUAAAACAAAUUCGCAUCUUUUCAAUGGUGCUUAAUUUAUAUCAAUCUCUGUCUUUCAAGAUGCAACGGAUUCGAAUAGUCUCAUGAGCACAAUCAUACUAUUCUAUCAAAUUUGAAACUAGUGUUUGAACUAAAAUCAGAGAAAAUUUGUUUCAGAUAGAAGAAGGAAAUGUCACUUCAAUUUUGUGUGUUUUGCAAAUAAAAUUAGAAACCAAUUUAUAGAAUUUUUGGAGGACAUUUUGGUAUAGAAAAAUUAGGCAGUAACUAUUGAAUUUAAUACUUAAAUAAAAUCUAUAACAAAAGCAUUUGUUUACCUUCAAUCACUUGUAAUAUAAAGCCAAAUUUUUCCUUCAAAAUUAGCCAUAUACAUCACUUAACAGCCCUUUAAUCUCUUGCUAUUAAGAUCAAUAUCAAUAUCAAAUAUUGAUAUUGCUUUUACCCUUUACAGUUUUAGUUUUAAUUCAAUGCAAUUAUAGUGCAAUAAAAAGAAAAUUAAAGGAUAAAAAACACCUUUAAUCUUUUCCAAACCAAUGGGUGAUAAGCACUAAUUUGAAUUUUCUAUUAUUCGUCCUAAAGAUCUCACGAAGGAGAUUCUGAAUCAUUCAUGCAAGAAUAUUUCCUCAAUAGACAUCUAACUCAAAAUUAGCCUUCAAAUAAUUGAAUGCUUAUUUAAUUCCUAUAUUUUAACUUAAAUAUCCGUUUAGUCUCAUAUUAUAAAAUAUAUCUCAAAAUACCCAUGUAUAUUUUGGUUUUAUGAUAAUACCCUUCAAAUAAUAUUCUUGACAUGAAUUAAUUAUCUAUAAAAUAUUAAUUAGCAUCUUAACCAAUAAUUAAUUAUUAGCAAAUUAAUUAACAAAUAUCAGGAGUGAAAGAACUAAUAUUUCCUGUACCCUUGCAACAAUCUUACUAAUAAUUAUUUAUAAAUAAAUUAAUAUUAGCCAACUUAAAAAUGAACAUUUUAAGUAAAAUAAUGAUAUAAAAUGUUUAUUAAUAUCUUUACAACAAUAUUAAUAAUAAUUGUUUAAUAAAAAUUAAUUUACUAAAUUAAUUCUAAAGUAAAAUAAUAAUAUAAAAAUUUGGGUAAAUUUUUAUGUUACUUUUAAGAUAAAUUUUGAUAAAUUAACAUUUUUUUAUAAAUAUCCCAAUGUUAUCGUAAAAAGAAAAAAAAUUAAGGGUAGUAAUGAAAUAUACUUGGCAUCACGGGUGUCUUGAGAUGUGUGUGUCUCUCUCUUUCUAUAUAUAUAUAACACUUAAAUCAAAAUAUAAAGAUUAAAUGAGUAUUUAUCUAUCUUUAUAUUCAUCCCACUUUUAGACAUACUUUGUUAAAUUGUCUCUUCUAGAAAAGAGGUCGUUUGCAGCAAUGAAGGAAUUUCAUAUCAAGGUUACAAACAAGAAAACGAAUGGUUCUGGCCAAUUGCAUUUGACUUAGUCAACUGAGAUACGGCAAAAGCAAGGUAGAAUCUAAAAUUACAUAAGAGUCUAAUAGGCAAUAAUCUUCCUAUAAUUAAUGAAUAGCUCAAUAUCUUGACAUAACCUCACAAAUGUAGGAUUUCAAUCUCCGUGUCGUUUAUUUUUUGAAUUUUUUAUUACUUGAGUUUAGAUUAGUUAAUUUAAGAUAAUAAUUGACCUACAUUUAUAAAACAUAUCUAAAUUUUCCUACGUAUUAAAAUACUAAAUGUGAUAUAAGAACCAGCUAUAAGUAGGUUAAAUUGAUGAUUUGGUAUAAUUAUAAUGAUUAUUAUUUUUAAUUGAUCGAUGGAUUGAAAUUUUAGUACCCAUAUAUUUUUUCAAUACGGACAAUUUUAGAGAGUAAGUGAUAACUCUAGGAAAUGAGAGUUAUUACAUCAAUUCUAGGCUUGAAUUAAGGUCAUUUAGAGAACAAAUAAGGAGUUUUCAUUACAUUUUGAUUACCUUUUGCAUAAACAUUCAUUUUAGUUGAGUCUUAAUAAGUUUUGCUUAAAUCAUAGUAAUUUGUACUAAAAACAGGUUUUAAAUUCAUAAGAGUAUGUUGAGGCAUUUGAAGAACAAGAGGAGGAAGGAAGAUGACCACAAAAGAAGUAAAGCACAAUCGGGAAUAAAGCAGUGUUAUGGCAGUUGUUAGAGCAACCAGUGCUGUAGCAAUCUGGGAGCAAUGCGGGAGAAAACUUAGGCGCGAGUCAGCCAUAAAAUCGCGAUAUGCAUGUUUCCUAAUUUAAACACAUGCACGCUCAUGGGCUUUGGUUUAACCUAAUGUGCAAUAUAAAAAGGAGGCAUGCACCACAUAGAAAGGCGGCAAGGAAUUAUCAUUAGAAUAAUUAGAAGGAACGAAGAAGAAGAAGAUCAGAAUUGAAGAGUGUUGUUUCGGCAACAUUGGACAAUCGUGUAGAAUUACUUGACUUUAAUUUUCAUUGUGCUCAACUUAUAUUUAUCUUUUUCCUUUAAUUGAUUUGAUGUAUUCCGAGACCAAUAUGUUUAUGUUUACUUUUCUCAUUCAGAUUAUGAACUAAAUUUACUUGUAGUUGAGUGACAAAUAAUCCAAUGGGUUCUUGACUGUUCUUAUAUGUUGUUACGGUAUUGCUAUAGCAUUAUACUCUAGUAGUUUUUAUGAAUAUAACUGUUAUUUUAGUUGACCACUCAUUUAAUAGUUUCAGUUAAGAUAGAGCAGCAAAAUGACAUGUCUUAGCUGAUAUUAUUAGAGUAUUACUUGUUCCUAAGUCGAGUUUCCUAGAAUAGGUUAUCCCGAAUCCCAUAAGGACAAUACUUUAAGUUAGGAUUUGUGACACUCUAGACAUAGAUGUUCACCUUGUACGGUAGAAAGAUUAAAGGUUAUAAUGAUGUACCAUAAAUAUAUGAGCAACUGGUCAUUGUUAGCAGUUUUAAAGAUAUGAGAUUUCCAAUAUGCGAUAGCUGAGGAUGCAGAUUUAUUAUGCCCAGUGCUGCAGCACUUAUUCUAACAAUUGGUGCUAAUUUGGUAAAUAACAGUCACCCCAUUAGGAGAGUUUGAUCAUUCAACUACUAUAUUCUCAAUUGAAUCUUAGACACAAUUAAGCUAGUUUAUUUCAUUACGGUAUUGUCUUAUUUAAUUCUUAUUGCAAUUACUGAUUAUGAUAGAAAUUAUUUGACAAUUGUUUGUUUUGGUUUCAAGUUGAGUUGCGUUAUUGUGAGUGCUAUAACAUUUUGAAUAAUAUCAAUCCCUGUGGAGACAAUCUUGAAUACUUAUCACUUUAUUACUUGUUGUGUAUACUUGCACGUUGGCAUUGAUAGAUACUGCUUAUAAAAUUCACCAACAAGUUUUUGGCGCCGUUGCCGGGGAUUGAUUGUUUAUUUUUGAAGUGUGAAGAAAAUUGUGAUAGCGCCAAAUUUGACUUGAUUCAUUCUAUUGAUUGGCAUAUCAGUACGUGUAUGCGCAAGGACAAAUCUGUGGUAUUCCAAUUCGAUCCUGAGAUUGAAAGGACUGUCAGGAGAUUGCGAAGAGAACAAAGAUAUCCAAAGACUGUUUCAGGCAUGAAUAAUUUACAGAAUGAGGAAAAUUUGAUCCCUCACGGGCCCUUACAACCAGUCAACAUUCAAGAAAAACAUAAUAAACAUGCUAACGGGAGACAGCCAGGCAACAACAAUAUUAUUUACAUGGCUGAUGACAGAGAUAGAGCAAUAAGAGAUUAUGCUGUGCUAACUCCUCAAGUUGUACAUCCUGGCAUCAUCAGACCUGAAGUAGACGCUAUAAAUUUUGAGUUAAAGCCAGUGAUGUUUCAAAUGUUGCAAACAGUUGGGCAAUUCAAUGAAUUGCCAAAUGAAGAUCCCCAUCUCCAUAUUAAAUUGUUCUUGGAAGUAAGUGAUGCUUUCAAAAUUGCUGGAGCAACAGAAGAUGCCUUAAGGCUAAGGCUCUUUCCUUAUUCCUUAAGAAAUCGAGCAAGAGCAUGGUUAAAUUCAUUACCAUCUGAUUCCAUCACUACAUGGAAUGAAUUGGCUGAUAAAUUCCUAAUGAAAUAUUUCCCACCAACAAAAAAUGCAAAGUUGCGGAAUGAGAUUACUUCCUUUCAUCAACUUGAAGAUGAGAGUUUGUACGAGGCUUGAGAAAGGUUCAAGGAAUUGCUCAGAAGGUGUCCUCAUCACAGUAUUCCUACUUUCUACAAUCGGUUGAAUCCGAGUACAAGGUUAAUGGUGGAUGCUUCAGCAAAUGGAGCUCUGUUAUCCAAAUCUUACACUGAAGCUUAUGAAAUUCUGGAAAGAAUUGCCAAUAAUAAUUACCAGUGGCCUUCAGCCAGGUAACCAUCAGCAAGAGGAUCAACAGAGGUACAUAACAUUGAUGCAAUUACAGCCUUAUUAGCACAAGUUACUUCAUUGACUAAUAUGGUAAAAGCCAUGACAUUUGCUCCAGCAACAAUAAAGCAAGUCACUACACUCUCUUGUGUAUACUGUGGUGAGGAACAUGACUUGAUAGAUGUCUAGGGAAUCCAGCUUCAGUAAACUAUGUGGGUAAUUUCAAUCGACAACCUCAAAACAAUCCAUAUUCAAAUACUUACAACCCUGGUUGGAAGAACACCCAAAUUUCUCAUGGAGCAAUUAGAAUCGAAAUGCUCUAGCAUUCAUUUGACAAAAUAGAAACACACAGCCACCUGGUUUUCAUCAGCAGAGUCAAGGGCAAAAUUAAAUCAGUUAGGAUCCAAUCACUUCAUUGGAAACACUGAUUAAGGAGUAUAUUGCAAAGAAUGAAGCAAUUGUGCAGAGUCAAGCUGUAUCCUUGAGAAACCUGGAGAAUCAAAUGGGACAACUAACCACAGUAAUGAGUAGCAGAACUCAAGAAAGCCUACCUAGCAAUACAAAAGAUCCUAGGAGAGAGAGCAAAGAACACUGCAAAGUAAUUAGUUUGAGAUCUGAAAAAAAUGUUAAUAUACCAGUUGAGGUGACAAAAAAUGGGACAGAAUGCAAUUCAGCACAAAAACUAACUCACAAGGGAAGCCUGUUACAGCAAAUUCCCCAUCAAGACAUUGAUUAUAUAGGCCAAGCUACAGCAAUUGUAGAAGAAAUUCAACCAGAACAUGCUGAAAAGAAGUUGCAACACCAGUAGCCACAACCUGCACCAACCUAAACAAACAAAGUUUGGUACCUCCUGAAUAUAACCAGCAAUUUAGACAUCCACCACCUUUCCCACAAAGGUUUCAGAAACAAAAGCAGGACAAGCAAUUCAGCAAAUUUCUGGAAGUGCUGAAGCAAUUACACAUAAACAUACUUUUGUGGAAGCUUUGGAGCAAAUGCCAAAUUAUGUGAAAUUUAUAAAGGACAUCUUGGCAAGAAAAAGAAGGCUGGGAGAGUUUGAAACUGUUGCUUUAACACAGAAAAACAGUCAUAUGCUCCAAAAUAAAAUUCCAGCAAAAGUAAAAGAUCUAGGAAGUUUCACAAUACCAUGUUCUAUAGGAACUAGGUAUGCUGGCAGAGCACUCUGUGAACUGGGAGCUAGCAAUAAUUUGAUGUCAUUAUCUGUAUUCAAAUAACUUGGAGUAGGGGAAUGCAGACCAACAACAGUCACUCUGCAAUUGGCUGACAGAUCUCGUACAUACCCUGAAGGAAAAAUAGAGGAUGUACUAGUGAAGGUUGAUAAAUUCAUCUUUCCAGUGGAUUUCAUUGUACUGGAUUUUGAAGCUGAUAAAGAGGUACCCAUUAUACUUGGAAGACCUUUUCUAGUAACUGAAAAGACUCUGAUAGAUGUUCAGAAAUGAGAGUGUAGUGGAUUUUGUUGUAGCAGACAGAAUGGAUAAAUGCUGCAGUAAAGUAUUUGACAGAGUCAAUACCUUUGAUGAUGUAGAAGAGAAAGAUGUUGCAGCAAUUCAGACAGAUUGGAUGGAAGAAAAGCAAUCUGAUACGUACACCAGGUUCAUUGAGCAUCUGAAUCUUUCAGACAGGGAAGUAAAAACAACUUUACCAUCUAUUGAAUCAUCUCCUAGUCUUGACUUAAAAUUGUUACCUUCACAUUUAAAAUUUACUUAUCUUGGUAAAAAUAACACACUCCCUGUAAUCAUCUCUUCUACUUUGGAUGCAGGUCAAGAAUAGAGUUUAGUAGAUUUGCUUGGAAAAUACAGAAGAACAAUUGGAUGGACCAUGGCAGAUAUAAAGGGGAUAAGCCUAUCAAUUUGCAUGCAUAAAAUCCUACUAGAAGAUUACUCCAGCAAUUCAGUUGAGCACCAGAGAAGGUUGAACCCUAUCAUGAAAGAAGUAGUGAAGAAGGAAAUCAUCAAAUGGUUAGAUGCUGGAAUCAUAUAUCCAAUAUUAGACAGUUCAUGAGUGAGCCUAGUUCAAUGUGUUCCAAAGAAGAGAUGGAUAACAGUAAUAACUAAUGAGAAGAAUGAACUUAUUCCUACAAGGACAGUAACUGGAUGGAGAGUAUGUAUGGAUUACAGGAAGCCCAAUAAAGCCCCAAGGAAAGACCAUUUUCCACUUCCAUUCAUAGAUCAGAUGUUGAACAAACUUGCUGGAAAACAGUACUAUUAUUUUUUAUAUGGGUAUUCAGACUACAACCAGAUUGCUAUAGCUCCAGAAAAUCAGGAAAAGACAACAUUUACUUGUCCUUAUGGCACAUUUGCAUUUAGAAGAAUGCCUUUUGGGUUAUGCAAUGCUCCAGCAACUUUUCAGAUAUGCAUGAUGUCUAUAUUUUCUGACAUGGUAGAGCAGACUUUAGAAGUUUUCAUGGAUGACUUCUCAGUGUUUGGAGAAACAUACAAUGAUGGUUUGCACAACUUGGAAGAAGUUCUUAAAAAAUGUGAGAUGACCAACUUAGUACUCACUUGAGAAAAAUGCCAUUUCAUGGUGCAAGAAAGAAUAGUGUUGGGUCACAAGGUAUCCAAAUAUGGCAUUGAGGUAGACAAAGCCAAGAUAGAUGUAAUAGAUAAACUGCCACCUCCAACUUCAGUAAAUGGUAUAAGGAGUUUUUUGGGUUAUGCUGGAUUUUACAGAAGAUUCAUUAAGGAUUUUUCCAAGGUGGCUAAACCAUUAUGCUCAUUGCUGGAACAUGAUAAACCCUUUUACUUUGACAAAGAAUGUCAUCAAGCAUUUGGAGAAUUAAAGAAAGCUCUGAUCACUGCUCCAGUAAUCAUAUCUCCAAACUGGACUUUACCAUUUGAAUUAAUGUGUGAUGCUAGUGACCAUUCUGUGGGAGCAGUAUUAGGGCAAAUAAAAGAUAAGGUUUUUCACUCGAUAUACUAUGCAAGCAAAACUCUUACUCAAACUCAAAUCAAUUACACCACUAUAGAGAAAGAAUUGCUAGCAGUAGUAUUUGCUUUUGACAAAUUCAGAGCCUACUUAGUGGGCACUAGAGUGACAGUAUAUACAGACCAUACAGCCAUCAGAUACUUAAUUUCAAAAAAAGAUGUCAAGCCAAGAUUAAUCAGAUGGAUCUUAUUGUUACAAGAAUUUGAUUUGGAAAGUAAAGAUAAAAAGGGGACUGAGAAUCAAGUAGCAGAUCACCUAUCAAGAUUGGAAGCAGACACAAGCACAUUGACAAGAAAAGACAUCACUGAAACUUUUCAUGAUGAACAGCUGUUGGUGGUACAACAAGCACAGAUGCUGCAGCAGUCAGAAUCUCCAUGGUAUGCAGAUUUUGCUAACUAUUUAGUAAGUGGAUUGUUACCACCCGAGCUGAAGUUUCAAGAGAAAAAUAAAUUUCUUCAUAAUCUUAGAAGUUACCAAUGGGAUGACCCACAUUUAUAUAAGCUGUGCCCAGACUAAGUAAUACGAAGAUGUGCUGUAGAAGGAGAGAUUCUCCAUAUAUUUGAGGCAUGUCAUGCUGCAGUAUAUGGAGGACAUUUUGGUGGUCACAGAACAGCUACUAAAGUAUUGCAAUCAGGUUAUUACUGGCCAACUAUUUUUAAAUAUGCUUAUGAGUUUGUUAAAUGUUGUGACAGAUGUCAAAGGACAGGGAACAUAACUAGCAGACAUGAGAUGCCAUUGACCAACAUACUGGAAGUAGAAAUUUUUUAUGUCUGGGGAAUAGAUUUCAUGGGACCUUUUCCCCCAUCCUUUGGGAACUUAUAUAUCCUUGUUGUUGUGGAUUAUGUCUCUAAAUGGGUAGAAGCUGUAGCAUUACCUACCAAUGAUGUUAAAGCAGUGGUGGCUUUUCUGUAGAAAAAAUAUUUUUUUCAGAUUUGGCACUCCUAGAGCAAUUAUUAAUAAUGAGGGAACACAUUUUUGCAACAAAGUAUUUGCUGCAGCAAUGGUAAAAUAUAGAGUCAGACACAAGGUAGCUACAGCAUAUCACCCACAAUCUAAUGGUCAGGCUGAAGUAUCCAACAGAGAGAUUAAAAAGAUCUUAGAAAAAGUGGUGAACCCAACAAGGAAGGAUUUGUCUUUACACUUAUAUGAUUCUCUAUGGGCCUACAGAACAGCAUACAAAACUCCACUCGGCAUGUCCCCUUACCGAAUUGUUGAUGGAAAGGCUUGUCAUUUGCCACUAGAGCUAGAGCAUAAAACACAUUGGGCACUGAAGAAAUUAAAUUGAGAUAUUCAUGUUGCAACAGAGCAAAGAAAGCUUCGACUUUGUGAGAUUGAUGAAUUACGGCAAUUUUCAUAUGAAAAUGCAAGAAUUUAUAAAGAAAUGACAAAACACUGGCACGACAAGCAUAUCCAACACAGGCAAUUUAGCCCUAGACAAUUAGUAUUGCUCCACAAUACAAGACUAAGAUUAUUUCCAGGAAAGCUCAAGUCACGAUGGUCUGACCCAUUUAAGCUGCUCAAAUUUUAUCCUCAUUGAGCUAUUGAUCUUUUAGAUGAACAGACAGGUCAAGAAUUCAAGGUUAAUGGGCACAGGGUUAAGCACUACAUACAUCCAGCGGCAUAUCGUUCCAAUGAGGUGUUACUCCUUAAAGAACCCAGCUAUUGAGCAAUGAAAGAAGAUCAGGAUGAAGGACCUUAAAUCAAGCGCUCCAUGGGAGGCAACCCAUUGGGGAGACAGCCGCUUCAAACUAAUUUUGAUAUCCUUUGGUUUUGUAGACAGCUCUCCCUCUUUACUAUCUUAUUUAAUUUUAUUUUUCUAUGAUUAGCCAUUUAUUUUUACCUUUUUACAUUAUUGCAUUCUUUAUUUUCGCUUUAAUUUUAUCUAUUUAUUUCUCUUAAUAAUUUUAGAAUUAAUUAUAUUUUGAAGUCAGUGUGACAAUUGAAUUCCAUAUUGACAAGUGAGAGUGUAUGAUGGCAGAAUGCAGGGGUAAGCCAUGUGUCAGAAGCUUUAGUAUGAAGUAUGUAUUGAAAUACAAGUAUGCAACCCAAGAGGGGGGGUGAAUUGAGAUUCUAAAAAUUAUUCAAUUUAUAAAAAAAAACUUAAUGUAAAUAUUUAAAAUUCAAAGCAAUAACAAUUAAGUUGAUCACAAUAUAAAAAGAUAAGGGAAGAGAGAUUCAAACACAGAGAUUUUUAUGUGGUUCGGCCAACCUCGCCUACGUCCACGCCUCCAAGCUUUCCGGGCUUGAGGAUUCCAUUAAGCAAGCCUCCAAGGCUUCAAAUGCUUACACUUGACUUCCAAGGUGUCAAUAAACCUUUACAACAAGAGAUUAUCCCCAAUCUCUUAACCCAAGUGUAUCCUAACACUUACAAUCACUCAUAGUAAAAGAUUACAAAUUGAUUUGCCUCUCACAAUAUAUAGGAUUACACAAUGAUGCUUAAUAUGUGAAUAGAUGAAGCAAGAAUGUGUUCUAAGCUCUAUGAAGAUUGUAUUCUCGAAUAUUAGCUCAAUGGUCGUGUUAUGAUCAAUCUAGUUUGAAUUUGAAUGAGCUUAUUUAUAUUUGGAGCUAAAAAAUUAGCCGUUACAAACUGUCGGUCCAAAAACGGUUUGCCGUUAGUCAUUAACGGUUAACCAUUUACGCUAGUCAAAAGUUACCGUUGGGCCAAAUUUCAAACAAACGGUUUGCCGUUUAGGAUUGCCCUUUCGCCGUUAAAUUCCAGAGACCUGCAAAAUGAAUAUCAGCUAUCCGUUUAAAGUAAACGGUUAAGGAUUUGCAUGAAGUGAUUUCUCUGGAUAUUAUCGAUUGACCGUUUGUAAUAAACGGUGCGCCAUUUGUUUCCAGUAACCUGCAAAAUAAUUUAGCCUUAAUCGGUUUUGUUAAUCAGUGAUUCUGAACGUUAUCGGUUAACUGUUUAAAUAAACGGUUCACCGUUAAGUUCCAGUAGCCUUCCCAUCUUUGGUGUUUUCCGUUUUUCAUAAACGGUUAGAGUUUAGGCAAUAUGUUGCUCUCUGGUGUUAAUCGGUUAACCGUUUAAAUAAACGGUUCACCGUUAAGUUCCAGUAACAUUCCCAUCUUUUGUGUUUUCCAUUUUUCAUAAACGGUUAGAGAUUUAGGAAAUAUGUUGCUCUCUGGCUUUAAUCGGUUAACCGUUUAAAUAAACGGCUUACCGUUUAUUUCCAGAAUCACACUUUAAAACAGAUUUUACAGAGAAUCAUUUUUGAAUUUGAAGGUCCAUCUUUUAUAAAACAAUGAAUGGAAUGAUUAUUAAGGCUUUCGUUUAUUAAGGAAUAGCUCCAACACUUUUAUCAAAAAUCAUUUAAAGUUUGUUAUUAUCAAAAUCAAUAUUAUUAACAUAUUCAUGUUAACAUGUAUCCGUUGUCAGAACAAGCAAAUGGGUGCUGCAACAACUAAUUUUACCGUUACAGUAAAUUAAAAGCUGGAGUCUUUCACUUACCGUUGGAAAUAAAAUCGUGACAAAUGGAUGCACGGAUAUGGAAAGAAAAUUGAGGAAACAAAUCUCUGAAAUUAAAGCUUUAAUUUCAUUAACCGAUAAUUUUGGGGAUAUGCACAUUUAAUUCAAAUAUUUUAUUCCCUCAAUUAUCUCUAAUUACCGUAUUUAUCUUCAAAUUAAAGUCCAUUAUAAAAAGAAGUCACUGUGUUUAGGGCUCUAAGCCACUAUUCCCUAUCUCCUUCGUAAAGACAACUGUAACAAUCCUUAAAUUUUUUUUCUCUUUUUACUCUUAGGAAAAGUAGCUUCAAUUUGUCACUGCUACAGCAAUGCCGGGAUACAAGAAAACAGCCAGCUGCCUCAAAGAUCCGUCACGCUUCCAGAGCUACCAUGCCGAAGAAAAAUAUAAAGAAUUCAUAAAGCCGCGUAAGAUUCUGGAAGAGAAAGGGUUUCAAUUCCUAGAACAACUCACUAGAAUUGUACAAACAAUUCAUAAUGCUGCAGCAAAGCGAGGAUGGUUAGAGUUUUGCAAUCAUCCUCGUGAUCCUGUGCUUCAAGUAGUCAAAGAGUUUUACGCCAAUUUGGUAAGCCCUGAUCAGCAUAACAUUUGGGUAAGAAACACUCUUGUUCCCUUAGACUCCCAAGUUAUCAAUGCUUUUACAACUCUUACCAUAAAUUGACCCCGAAAAAAUAGACCAUUAUUUUCACAACUCUUACCAUCGAAGGGGCAUUAUGGGCUAACGAAGAAGGGCGUGUAGUUAAUAGGAUAGAUUUGAAACCUAUUGCUAAGGUGUGGGUGAAAUUUUUUAAAUCUAAGCUUAUGCCCACCACUCACACUACCACGGUUUCGCAAGAGAGAUUGGUUUUGUUAUAUAUCCUUGUUCGAGGGCUUCCCAUUGAUGUGGGUAGCAUCAUUGCAAAAGAAAUCCGAGAGUGUGCAGUCAAGACUCACCGAACUGCUGCCUUGCUAUUUCCUUCACUUGUCACCAGCAUUUUUGUAGUUUCAGGUGUUCGUCUUGACACUAGAGAUGACCAUGUUAAGAAUGAUGGUGCAUUUACGACACGUACAAUUAAGAGAGUUGCAGGUGAGAGUGCUGGAACAACCACUGAACCAACUGCUGUGACAGGAGCAAGACGUGCUAUUGGCUUAGAACAAACCAUCGAGGCACUCAGCACCGGUAUCACGCAAUGUAUGGAAGCUCAGCAGAGGGAAAAUGGUCGGUUUUGGAGUUAUCUACCGUACCUGGAUAACCAACUACACUAAUUUGCUCUGUACAUGAAAUGCACUCACCGGAACUUCCAUGAUUCACUGCUCCAGCAGUACAAUUUUGAUACUAACACCAUAGGUGCUCCAGUAGAAGCCAGCGAAGAAGCCACUGGUACAGAUGAACCAGCAGAAGUCGAAUCAUAAGAUGUUGAACCAUCUGACUCACCUGAGGACGAAAUUGACAAGUCUGAGACUGAUAGCUCACCCUCAGAGGCAGAGGAUACUUCGGAGAAAGAAUGUGAGGAACCAACCAUCCCAACUCAGUCCAAAACUAGGAAGCAACACAUUAUUCAAGAAGAGGAGGAGGAAGACUUUGAAGAGGAACCGUCUAUUCUAGUCUUUGUAUGCAAAGGAAAGGACAAGGGUAAAGCUCAAAUGGCAACACCUCUUGACUCUGCAGAUGAAUUGGAGCAAGUUGAUGUCGAGCUAGCUGCUGCAGCAGCCAAAGUUACGCCUACACAUAAACAAGCCAAGCAACUACUGGCCAUCAUUGCGGCCAUCACAGCUAAGGGCCAGGCAGCUGAUGCAUCAACUCCAAUUCCUCCCCAGCAAACUCCUAGCCAGUCUGUUCGCGCCAGUCCGCUACAGCCCAACAAAAGAAAACGCAGUACUUCUAAAGGCCCUGCUACAGCAACCCCAUCCACCACUCCUGUUGUGCAAAUUUUAAUGUACUCGCAAGCGCACGAAUCUAUUGUAGUAUAGACUAAUGGUGACGAGUGUCGAUCCCACGAGGAGGUGAAUUUUAAUUGUGUGUAGAAUUAAUUUUCUAAAUGGGUGGUUGGAUUUGUGGUGAAAAUGAUUUUGAUUAUCCUAAAAUUAGAAUUGAAAUGACGAGAAUAAUUUGAAGAGAAUUAUAUUCAAAUGACGUACUUGGGUAUCUGGAUCCGUAUCAACAUGCAUCAUGGGCUAAAUAUUCCUUAUUAAUAGCAAUUAAAUUAUGAGGGGGGAAUCCACACCUCAUGAACUACACUCUAAUCAAUAUGGUGCUAAGGGCUUAUCGUGCCAAAUAAUAAUAACUUUGUAUUAAGGAGCCGGUGAAACCAAGGCGGUACUAAAGAAGAUUAUUAUUAUUUGUCGACGAGAAGUCAAAACAUCCACAAAAACUAGAGGGGAAGAGAAAAUAAAUUUAUCAAAUAAAGCCCAUGACACAUGUUGAGACUUCACCUUCAACCCAAGCUUGAAAGAAAAUUAGCUACUCAAAAUUGAACUAGGGGCAAAAUGGAAAUUUAUUAAAACACAUAGAAAAUACAAGAUGGAGAAGGAAUUAAAGAAAAUAGAUCCCAAAAAUGGAUUCAGAGAUAUCAAAUUAGGGGGGGAGGCCCCCUUUUUAUAGAUACAUGGAGUAAAUCAUGGUCAUCGGAUUAAAAACAGUUUGGACGCUUAGGAUUGCGCCACGUCAUCAGUCAACAGUACGUGGUUUAACCACGUGGAUGAACAGUAACACGGUUUGACCAGGGUUGAACAGUAACGCGGUUUGGUUGAAAAUAAUCCUGUGUGAUGCAUGUACCGUACGCGAGAUUUUUCGUCCACUGAUAUGCUGCCACGUCACCAUCAACAGUACAUAAGAAUUUUAGUCCAACAGGAACGUGACACCUCAUCAGUCAAUGCCACAUCAUCGGUCAAUGCCACGUCAUCGAUCCGUCUAUGUGAACAUUGUCGUGAACAGUAACGUAUACAGUACCGUACACGUGAAUAGUACCGUACAUGUGAAUAGUAUCGUUUUUCCUUUUAUGUUCCUCCUAAGGUUUUCGACCGUCCUGAGUUCAAAAGUGAUGUCCGUUUUGCCGUCUGAUCUCUCCUUUAUUAUGAAAUGACUAUAAUGCCCCUAAAAUACAUAAAAUACUUAAUUAAAAUAAAACACAUGUAAUUAAAUCACAAGAAAGUUAAAUACAUAAAAGUAAAGGUUGUUAGUAAGACUUGAAAUGUAAAAUGACGGUUUUCUCCUUUAUAAACAUGUAUUUUCUAACACUCAACACAUCUCCCAACCAGCUUAUUGUUAGUCCCUAGCAAAUAAAGCAAAAACAAAAUUCAAAUUCAAAAUAUUUUUUUUUAAUAGAAACACUCAUAUUUAUUCCAUCAGAUUAAUGAUAGCAAUCAAAUAAAAGUAUAAGCAUUAUCUCCAGUCUAAAGCAACAUCACACUCACAUCAACCAUCCAUAUGAAUCAGCCUAGUAGACUUUGUUAUAGCUACUUUCAAAAAUGACAUGUCAAACCCCAAAAUCUCACUGGAAGUAGUGACACUCUCACAAAGAAAUUAAAACCAAUAAAAAUAGUCACUCCAAUGAAUGGUAAUUGAGAGAGAAAAUAAUAAAGAAGUGAUAUCACAUGCUCUCACCAAGAUGAAAUAAAUAUGCCCCCAGCUUAGAAAUAAUACGAUCUCAAGUCAAAUAAAAAUGCUAGUCAACCCAAUUUAUUUAUCUUUUUUUUUCUUUUAUUUAUUUAUUUUUAUUAUGCACCACUACAUCUUUUUAGCCCACAUAACAGCUUCUACUUCAAAUUAUAGUUCCCUAAAAUCAUGAAUGCCUUUUAUUAGGAUGUAACGUAGGCUAGGGACAUGGUUAACAAAGAAGGGAAAUAAGGAAAACAAAGUGUAUGUUUGAGAAAAAUGCAGAGGAAUUUUUUUUUUUUUGGAAGUUGCAAGGUGAAUUUCACCUAUUAUUGUUAUUUUUUUUUCUUUUUUUCUUUUUGAAUUUUUUUUUUGCUUUUGCUUAGCACAACGUCACUAAAUAAAAUAAUUAUUUACAUUUUCUCAAACAUAAAUAGGUGAUGGAACUUAUAAGACAUCGGGUAAUACUCCAAAUCGGAGUGGGUCAAGAUGAUAAGUUGACAAAGAAAAUAUUUUUUUUUUAAAGGCUCAAAAGGGUUAACUAUGGAUAUUUAAUAAAAGGGAUGGCUAGAAAGGCUCAAACGGAUCAAAGAUGGCUUUUCCAUCGUCUUUUAGGGCUCUAAAUAAUCAUCCAUAUCUACUAGUUAGAUGGGCCUCCAAAUGUAGCAACACACAUUUUUUUUUGUUUUUUUUCUUUUUUUUUUAAUUUUACAAUUUUUUUUAAGGGUUAACUCAAAAGAAAUCUAGAGAUCGUGUAUACAAUAAUAAACUGUUAAGCUGUAUAAAGAAUGGGCAAAAGGGUUACUCUCCAAGAAAAAUGAUAGGCUCAAAAACUCACUUGGUACUUAUUAUGACAUGUUCAUUCCUUCAAGCAACUCAUAUUUGUCUCCGACAUCAACAUGUAGAGUAGCAAACAUAAUGUAACAUCACUUAAGACCAAAGAUAAUACAAAUGCUAAAAUUUGAAAUUAAUCAUGUCAUCCAAUGUUAAAACAAAUCACAUAAUUUUUUUUUAAACAACAUUCUACCCCCCAACCUAUUCUAAACAUGAAGGAAAAUAUGCAUGCAAAAAUGUGAAAAUGAUGCAUAAAAACUAAUUAGAAAAAUUACACGUAAAAUGAUAGAAAACGAAAUGGUUUUUUUUUUUAAAAAAAAGAUGUGUUUCUAGAGGCACUACACUCUAUAUUCAGCCAUCUUCGACUCACAAGUUGGAAAAUGUAUAUUUAUAGAGGAGAAAUUAAAAAGAAGAAAAAUAAACAUAAAAACAUAAUAAAGAAAAAGAAAAUGUCUGAAUUUUUUUUUAGUUUUUUAUUUUGUUUAAUUUUUUUUACGAUGAAGAUGCGUUUCUAGAGUCACUACACUCCAUAUUCAGCCAUCUUCAACACAAAAAGUUAGCAACAGUUAGUUUUUACAACAAAAAAUUAGUAAAAACUUAACCAAAAUUCUACAAUUGUCGACUAUUCCCUCCCCCCAACCAGAACAGAACAUUGUCCUCAAUGUUUGAAAGGAAAGAAGUAAAGUUUAGAAGACAUCACCUGAGUGGUGCAACACAAAAGAAAAUAUUUACAAGCGGAGAAUUAAAUCUAAUUUGUACUUCUUACUGCGGCUACUGUUACCAUCAUUAUUUGGAUGCUCCAACACAAAGGUCCAGGGGUCUGGCUCUGGUCUAUAAGCUUGUAACAGAUCAAGUAGCUCAUUAGCAGUGUGAGCACAAAUAAAGAGUUUUUUUCGCAUUAGAGGAAAUGAAAUAGUUUUUUAUUGCAUGGUUAAGAAAUGCGAUAAAGCCAUCAUAAAAGUUAUUGACAUUUAACAAACCGAUGGGUUUCUGGCGGAUGUGAAGAUAGGCCUAAGAUGCUAGUAUGAUAAGUGCCUCUAGUGUUGCAAGAUCUCCUGGAAGGAAAAUAAAAGCAUCAGCAUGAUUAAGCAUUUCAGUUAUUCUUUCUUGCAUAUCUGAGACGACUAACUCUUCUCUAAUUGAUGAGUCAGACGAACUGCCCAAUGGUUUUAGGACUCUUGGAAUGAUGCCUAACACUUAACUUCCUCUGACAAAAGCUGCUUCAGAGACCAUUUUUGAUAACCCUCGGUUACCUCCUCCAUACACCAAGUGUAAUUUUCUCUCUGCUAUACUUCGACCAAGAUCGAUGGCUGUCUCAACGAACUCUUUAUGUUUGCCAUAGGUAAAUCCAGAUAGACAACGAAUUCUUGAAUUGUCUAUUUGGAGUAGCUGCCAUUGUGAUACUUCUCAAAAAAUAAUUUGUGAGUGCUUGACAAAAAAAAAUCACAUUUAAGAGUCUUGGUGACAGUGGGUCACAGUUGUGUAUGAGGUAACAUGUCAGUGUCAAAUAACGGGUAAAGCACGUGGCUCGCGAGUCAAAAAAGAAACAGUAAAAAGAAAAAAGCAAACAGUAAUAAGGAAAAAGCAAACAGUAAUAAAAUUAUUAAAGACAAUAAUGCACACAAUAAAACAAUAGUGAAAUAAAAUAACAGUAAAGUGAAAGGAUAUUUACAGGUAGUUGCGACUGUGGCUCACAUCUUCCUCUGGUUUUACGUCCAGGAAUGGCUUGAACGCCCUCUAUGGGUCGAGGAUAGGCUUCCUAUCUAGUUUUCUUAUAAACUGGCAAACAGGGUCGUUUAUAGUCAGAUUCCCGAGACUAUAUCGUGCAUGCUCUUUUUGGAAUAAUGGUCAUAAUUGGAGAAUCGCUCCUUGCACAUAUCCAUUGGAAUGCGUUUCAAGAGACAAAAGGAUAUCAUCCAAUGACUCCUUAUUCAAGCCAUCCCUAAUGAAUUGAAUCUUAUCUUCCCUGUUAUCAGACAACAUUCCUAAAGAACAUGGGUUUUUAUUGCAACUCAUUCUGGCACACUUAUGACAAGCAACAGAAAUUCUUCGAGCUCGUCGUUUUCUUGCAUAAUUUCCUUUACCACAACUAAGCAUGUAUGCAAUAAAUUUUGGUGGUAACUCACUUGCCGAUCGUACUUUAGCCUCGAUUAACCAACGGAUGUCAGCAGGUAUAUUAUUCCUUAUGAGUAAUCGCAUGCGUUCGGACCGAGCUUUAUAAAUCGUAAGGAGGGCAUUCUGAGGAAGUGAAGGGAAUCGCUUGUGAAGCUUCGCUAGAAUCUCGUUUCUAUCCAUACUUUCGCCUCAGAAUAUCAGUUAUUAUGGGAAACUGAAGUAACCGACUUGAUUGUCACGGAGUACCGUUAUCCGCCACUUCACCGGGGUAACAAACUAAAGCACACAAACAGAAAAACAAAUUAAAACACACAAAGAAAAUUAAAAUCGUCCUCUUAUUGAAUUUACCUCAAGCUCCAACUGGAUGUCGUAAACACUUCUCUCAAUAUCUCUGAGUUGGCUUUCUAGACCCUCAACAUAGGAUACUAACUCUGGUGGUUGUAGAACCCAAAUGCGAUGUGUUUUACAAAAUUGAAUCUGCCUUUUGAGAUGAGUUUUGACACGUUGAAGUGGUUUAAGAAUGUUCAGGAGGAACGGUCUAAGUAAGGUACUCAUGAUUAAAAAUGAUAAGAGAAAACUUAAUAGUUAAACAAACACAGUUAUGCAAAAAUAAUUUCAAUUAACAAAAGAAUAAUAAAAAGAAAGAAAGAAAAAUCAAAUCAACAAAAAGAAAAAAAAUCAAUUCAAAUCUAGUGGAUCACUCAAAUUUAUUUCGGUGUUUUCUCUAUGUGGUUGGUACUCUAGAUAUGGCUUUAAUCUUUGACCAUUAACUUUAAACGUGACACCGUUCUUUGGGUCCUUAAUUUCAAUUACCCCAUGUGGAAAAACAGUAAGUACAAUAAAUGGGCCAGACCAACGAGAGCGUAACUUACCUGGGAAUAGGUGCAAGCGAGAAUUGAAUAAAAGCACUUUCUGACCUGAAGUGAAAGAUUUUCUCAUAAUUUGCUUGUCAUGGAAGACUUUCAUUCGUUGCUUGUAAAUCUUGGCAUUUUCGUAUGCGUCAUUGCGAAUUUCUUCAAGUUCUGCCAGUUGUAAUCUUCUUUCUGAGCUGGCUUGCUGCAUGUCAAAGUUGAAUUUCUUGAUGGCCCAAUACGCACGAUGCUCGAGUUCCACAGGUAGGUGAAAAGCUUUUCCAUACACUAGUCUGUAUGGUGACAUCCCAAUCGGGGUCUUGAAAGCCGUUAUAUAUGCCCAUAAUGCAUCAUCAAGUCUUAAUGACCAAUCUUUUCUGUCCGGCUUCACCAUCUUUUCUAAUAUGUGUUUUAUUUCUCGAUUGGAGAUCUCAACUUGGCCACUGGUUUGCGGAUGAUAUGGGGUCGCCACUUUGUGAGUGAUUGAAUACUUUGUCAAAAGAGAUUUGAAUGCUUUGUUACAAAAGUGGGCACCACCAUCACUGAUUAUUGCUCGAGGGAAUCGAAAGCGUGAAACAAUAUUGCUUUUCAAAAAUCCUAUCACCACCUUGUGAUCAUUGGUUCUACAUGGAAUUGCUUCUACCCAUUUCGAUACGUAGUCAACAGCAACCAAUAUGUAUUGAUGGCCAAAAGAAGGGGGAAAAGGGUCCCAUGAAGUCGAUACCCCAUAUGUCAAAAAUCUCAACCACUAAAAUUGGAUUUAGUGGCAUCAUGUUCCUUCGUGUAAUGCUCCCCAUUCGUUGACACCUAUCACAUGAAGAACAGAAAGUGUAAGCAUCUCGAAAUAUAGUUGGCCAAUAGAAAUCACAUUGCAAAACUUUAGUAGCUGUUUUCUUAGCACUGAAAUGGCCUCCACAGGCUUGUUCAUGGCAGAAUGAAAGGAUAUUUUGAAUUUCACUUUCUGGGACACAUCGUCUAACAAUUUGGUCUGCACAAUACUUGAACAAAUAAGGGUCAUCCCAAAAGAAAUUCUUUAUUUCUGUAAAAAAUUUAGCCUUGUCUUGCUUGGUCUAAUGCUCUGGAAGUUUACCUGUAACAAGAUAAUUAACUAUAUCAGCAUACCAAGGUAAUACUUCCACACUCAUUAAUUGUUCAUCUGGAAAUGACUCAUUUAAUGGUAAUAGUUCUGUAAUUAUGUCAAAGUGGAGACGAGAGAGAGGGUCCGCCACAACAUUUUCCAUGCCUUUCUUAUCCUUGAAUUCCAAGUCAAAUUCCUGCAAAAGUAACACCCAACGAAUUAGUCUAGCUUUUGCAUCUUUCUUUGUGAGAAGAUAUUUAAGAGCAGCAUGAUCUAUGAAUAUAAUUAUUUUACAACCAAUGAGAUAAGAUCGAAAUUUCUCUAAUGCAAACACUACUGCUAGCAUUUCUUUUUCAGUAGUUGAAUAGUUCAACUGUGCAUCAUUCAAUGUCAUACUAGCAUAGUAAAUAACAUGGGGAAUUCGAUCAACUCUUUGUCCUAAUACUGUUCCUACUGCAUAAUCAGAUGCAUUACACAUGAGCUCAAAUGGUAAGCUCCAAUUUGGGGGGUGAAUGAUGGGUGAUGAUGUCAACAACUGCUUCAAUUUUUCAAAAGCCACAAGACAUGAAUCAUUAAAGAUAAGUUGUACAUCCUUAGCAAGUAAAUUGCAUAAGGGUCUAGAAACUUUGCUAAAAUCUUUAAUGAAACGUCUAUAGAAACCAGCAUGCCCAAGGAAAAAUCUUACUUCUCUGACUGUUUUGGGUGGAGGAAGAUUAGAAAUGAGAUCCACCUUGGCUUUGUCAACCUCAAUACCUUUGCUCGAAAUGAUGUGACCGAGAACAAUACCCUGUUUUACCAUAAAAUAGCACUUCUCCCAAUUCAAGACUAAGUUCUUCUCGGUACAUCUCUGCAGAACUAGUGUUAGAUGAUGUAAGCAUUGAUCAAAUGAAUCACCAAAGACAGAAAAGUCAUCCAUAAAGACUUCAAGAAAUCGUUCAACCAUAUCAAAAAAAAUACUUAACAUGCAUCGUUGAAAUGUAGCAGGUGCAUUACAUAAUCCAAAUGGCAUUCUCUUAUAUGCAAAAGUGCCAAAAAGGCAAGUGAAAUGGUCUUCUCUUGAUCUUUUGGUGCUAUGAGAAUCUGAUUGUAUCCUGAGUAGCCAUCUAAAAAGCAAUAAAAUUCAUGGUCUGCUAAUCUAUCAAGCAUUUGAUCGAUAAAUGGUAAAGGAAAAUGGUCUUUACGUGUGACAGAAUUCAACUUUCUAUAAUCAAUGCAUACACGUCAUCCUGUAGUUAUUCUAGUUGGUAUCAAUUCAUUAUCGGCAUUCGUAACUACUGUGACUCCUGACUUUUUGGGGACAACUUGUACAAGACUGACCCAUGAACUAUCAGAAAUGGGGUAAAUGAUACCUGCAUCUAAUAGCUUAAGGACUUCAGUUCUAACAACUUAUUUCAUAUUAGGAUUUAACCGACAUUGCAUUUCCCUAGUAGAUUUAGCAUUUUCAUCAAGGUGAAUGUAAUGCAUGCAGUCUACUGGGUUUAUACCUUUAAUGUCUGCUAUGGUCCAUCCUAAUGCUUCUUUAUGAUCUUUUAAAACAUCCAACAACUUACCUUUUUGUUCAUCAUUUAGGGAUGAUGAGAUGAUUACCGGCAGAGUACUUUCUUCUCCCAAAAAUACAUAUUCCAAAGUGUUGGGCAAUGGUUUGAGCUCGAGUUUCGGUGGUUAUUCUGAUGAUGGGAUGAGUUUCUUUUCUGAUAGUGCUAGUUGUUCAACUCUUGACUUCCAUUUAUUAGUGUUCAUGGAUGGUGCUGAGUCAAGUAGGGCAUUGACCUCAUCGACCGAUCUGUCAAUAUCAAAAUCCAAACCAAAGUGAGUUAAACAUAUUUGUAAAGGAUCAUCACUAAGGUUUGAAAGAAAAGUGUCAUCAACUAAUGCUUGAAUUAAAUCCACAUCAAAAAUUCCAUCAUCUGCACUAUGAGGUUGUUUGGCAAUGUUGAAAAUGUUUAGCUCCAUAGUCAUGUUGCCGAAGGACAACUGCAUAUUUCCAGUCUUGCAUUGAAUGUGAGCAUCCGCAGUUGCCAAGAAAGGUCGGCCUAGAAUAAUGGGGAUGUGCUUUCUCGAAUCCUGUAUUGGUUGAGUGUCAAUUACAAUGAAAUCAACAGGAAAAUAAAAUUUGUCUACCUGGAUAAGCACGUCCUCCACAAUACCACGAGGUAUUUUCAUGGACCGAUCUGCAAGCUAUAACACCACUGGAGUUGGGUGUAAUUCUCCCAGUCCAAGUUUCACGAAUACUGAAUAAGGCAACAAAUUUACACUAGCUCCUAAAUCCAACAAAGUAUUCUCAAUUGUGUGGUUCCCUAUACUACAUGAGAUAGUGAGGGAGCAUGCGUCUUUGCAUUUUAGAGGAAUUUUGUGUUGGAGUAUAGAACUAAUAUUUUCUGUUAAAAAUGCCUUCUUUUGAACAUGAAUGUUUCUCUUUUUAGUACACAGGUCUUUAAGAAACUUGGCAUAAGAUGGAACUUGCUUUAUAGCAUCAAGCAAGGGGAUGUUAACACUUACCUGUUUGAAGAUUUCAAGAAUCUCACCUGUGGAUUUUUCCUUCUUUCCUUUAGCUAACCUUUGAGGAAAUUGAGCUUUAAGAACAUAUUCUCGUGGGUUGGUUUCUUCUUUCUCUUCGGAUGGUGAGUCCUCAACAUUCACAGGUACAAUUUGAUUUUCUUUUGUCACCGGCAUCUCCACUUUGUUAUCGACUUCCUUUCCUUUUCGCAAGGUCAUUACUGCUUUGACCUCUCCAUGCUGCUGUAGUGAACUGGUACUUGCUUCAUGCACUCCUUUAGGAUUAGGCACUAGUUGACUUGGAAACUUGCCUUUCUCAACAGUCAUUGCCAAGGUCUGAAUUGAAGAAGCAAGUUGUCCCACCAUCUUCUCGAGGCUUGAAACUGAUUGGGCUUGUGAGUUGAAGCCCGCUCCCAAUUCAUUUCGUAGUCCAUCAAUAGUGCGGUUCUAUUGCUCAAUCGUAGAGUGAGUAACAUUCCUGAAAUUUUGGAAUGCAUCCUCCCAUGGUCUAGGUUGAGAGUGGUUCUGGUUCUGAUUGUAUGGUCUGAAUGGUGGCUGAGAGGCUUGAGGAAUUUGAGGAAUUGGUAGAGCUGGAGCUGCUGGUCCAUUCUGUUGGAAUCCUUGAGACCAUGAAAAAUUGGGGUGGUCUCUCCAUCCAGGGUUAUAUGUGUUGGAGUAUGGGUUGUAAUUCGAUGGUUUUCUCAUUACACCUAUGGCAUUGGCUUGAUCUGAGUAUGAGUCAUGGUCAUGUGGUUCUGUUAAUUUAGUAGUCGAUAACGAUGCUAUUUGUCGAGCAAAACCUUCAACCAUCUCCUUGACUUCUUUGAUUCCUGCAGUUGACUCUCCAAUGUGAACCUCAUUCACUCCUUUAAUUCUUCUAGUAUUCCUGAGUGAUCGACUCCGUUGUUGGGAAUUAUCCGCUUGUCGCUGGAAGAAUUCCCAAAUUUCUGAUGCACUUUUUGACAUUAGCUCUCCUCCACUUGUUGCCAUUAGCCAUUCUUGCACAUUUGGUAGUAAUCCCUCCAAAAAGUAUUGGCAUUGGUGCCAUUUCUCGUACCCAUGAUGUGGACACUUCAAGAGUAGCCCAUUAAAUCGCUCUCAUGUUUCGAAAAACUGCUCGUCCUCUCUUUGGGUAAACUCCGAAAUUUCCCUGCGAAUAGCAUUGGUUUUAUGCACUGGGAAAUAUUUAUUCAAAAAUUUUGUAACCAUUUAUUCCCAUGAUGUGAUGCUAUUAGCAGGCAAAGUAUUUAACCAUGAACGAGCUCUAUCCUUUAAAGAAAAUGGGAAUAAUCUGAGUUUAACAUCAUCGUCUGAAAAAUUUUCGUAUUUAAAAGUUUGACAAAUAGCAUGAAAAUCAUUCAGAUGAUUAUAUGGGUCCUCAUUUUCUAGGCCAUAAAAUGUUGGGAGACAAUUUAGCACACUAGGUUUUAGUUCAAAACUCCUAGCAGCUACAUUUGGGUAUCUUAUGCAUGAUGUGCUCAAAUUAGCUAAGGGACUAAAAUAGUCCUUAAAUGGCCUCUCCUGUAGUGCUUGUAAAUCCAUUCCAAAUUUAUUUUUAAUGUGCUUUUGUGUGCGAAGUGUUUUUUUCUAAUUCAAGGUCUAUAGGUUCAAGAUUAGGAAAUAAUGACCUACGACCAUGCAUGCGAAACAAAUAAAAUAAAAAUAAAGAUGGGAACAAAACAAAUAAAAACAAAGAAGAGGGAGAAAUUAUGAUACUAACCUUAUUGUGCUAUUACAACCUUUCUAUAAAAAUACACAAAAAUAAAUUAACUAAAAAUUAAAUUAAUAAAAUAAACAAAAAUUACAAAGAAAAAAUAAAUUAAAAAUUAAAUUAUAGAAUUUUAAAGAAGAGAAAAAGAAAGAAAUACUAACAUUUAUUUGUAGAUUCACUUUUUUCUUUUUUUUUAAUAAUUAAAAAAAAUACAAGAAAACAAAUAAAAGAAAUUAUUCACAAAAAUUAAUUCUGUGAAUUAAAAUUACUUACCUCCCCGGCAACGGCGCCAAAAACUUGUUGUGCAAAUUUUAAUGUACUCGCAAGCGCACGAAUCUAUUGUAGUAUAGACUAAUGGUGACGAGUGUCGAUCCCACGAGAAGAUGAAUUUUAAUUGUGUGUAGAAUUAAUUUUCUAAAUGGGUGGUUGGAUUUGUGGUGAAAAUGAUUUGGAUUAUCCUAAAAUUGGAAUUGAAAUGACGAGAAUAAUUUGAAGAGAAUUAUAUUCAAAUGACGUACUUGGGUAUCUGGAUCCGUAUCAACAUGCACCAUGGGCUAAAUAUUCCUUAUUAAUAUCAAUUAAAUUAUGAGGGGGGAAUCCACACCUCAUGAACCACACUCUAAUCAAUAUAGUGCUAAGGGCUUAUCGUGCCAAAUAAUAAUAACCUUGUAUUAGGGAGCCGGUGAAACCAAGGCGGUACUAAACAAGAUUAUUAUUAUUUAUCGACGAGAAGUCAAAACAUCCACAAAAACUAGAGGGGAAGAGAAAAUAAAUUUAUCAAAUAAAGCCCAUGACACAUGUUAAGACUUCACCUUCAACCCAAGCUUGAAAGAAAAUUAGCUACUCAUAAUUAAACUAUGGGCAAAAUAGAAAUUUAUUAAAACACAUAGAAAAUACAAGAUGGAGAAGGAAUUAAAGAAAAUAGAUCCCAAAAAUGGAUUCAGAGAUAUCAAAUUAGGGGGGGAGGCCCCCUUUUUAUAGAUACAUGGAGUAAAUCAUGGUCAUCGGAUUAAAAACAGUUUGGACGCUCAGGAUUGCGCCACGUCAUCAGUCAACAGUACGUGGUUUAACCACGUGGAUGAACAGUAACACGGUUUGACCAGGGUUGAACAGUAACGCGGUUUGGUUGAAAAUAAUCCUGUGUGAUGCAUGUACCGUACGCGAGAUUUUUCGUCCAUUGAUAUGUUGCCACGUCACCAUCAACAGUACAUAAGAAUUUUAGUCCAACAGGAUCAUGACAUCUCAUCAGUCAAUGCCACAUCAUCGGUCAAUGCCACGUCAUCGAUCCGUCUAUGUGAACAGUAUCGUGAACAGUAACGUAUACAGUACCGUACAUGUGAAUAGUAUCAUUUUUCCUUUUAUGCUCCUCCUAAGGUUUUCGACCGUCCUGAGUUCAAAACUGAUGUCCGUUUUGCCGUCUGAUCUCUCAUUUAUUGUGAAAUGACUAUAAUGCCCCUAAAAUACAUAAAAUACUUAAUUAAAAUAAAACACAUGUAAUUAAAUCACAAGAAGGUUAAAUACAUAAAAGUAAAGGUUGUUAGUAAGACUUGAAAUGUAAAAUGACGAUUUUCUCCUUUAUAAAUAUGCAUUUUCUAACACUCAACAACUCCUCUCACCAGUCCCGCAACGAAAAAGACAAAGACAUUACCAGCUACUUCCCCACAAGCUUUACCAAAGGAUAAGUUGCGCAGUGCUUCCAAGAAGCGUUGAUAGCAUCCCAUCAUGUGCUGCAAUCCCCACCACAUGGGAGUAUUCUGUCCUUACUAGUUUUUUUUUUCUAAAAAAAACAAAUAAUCUCUGUUUUUCAAUUUGUGUGGUAUUGUCUUCAGGUCUUCCAUAUCCUUGUCCAGUUGUGUGCCUUUGUUCUGUAUGCUUGUGUGGACACAGCAUCUCUCAAGUUUGGGGGGGUUGUUUCCGAAUGCAUAUGUUUAUGUUUGUAUGCAUGUGUUCAUGUUUGUGUGGUGUGAAGCUCUGUUAUCUAGUAUUUGUGUAUGGAUUUGAAUACCUAAUGAAGAUAAAUUGAGUGUUAUUCAGUAUUAUAAGAAUGCCAAGUAGAGAUAAGUUAUAGAUGAAAAUGAAAUUAUGUCCUGACACUUAGACUUUGGUUGAAUUGUAUGAGACUGCUAGAGCAAAGCCAGAAGAAUAGAGCAGAUCCUAAGUUUGGGGGGAGAAGCAAGUUUGAUUAACUGUGAUUUCUAUGAAAUACAAUUUGUUCUAAUGGCUCAAGUUGCUGAGUAACCAGAUCUGCGUAUGUACCCCAUAUGCAGAAUUGUGUUCAAAGGUAGCAAGAGUUAUGAGCAAUGUUGUAGCACUGUUAAAAAAAAAAAUCCUCUGUCUAAGGCAUUGAGUAGCCAGGUCUGUUCAUGAGCCAUAUGUUCAGCCUUGAGUAAAAGAUACCUCUAGAUAAGAUUACAUUAUAGUUACUGCUGCAACAACUCUGAUCUGGCAUGGUUUGAGUAAUUGGGUGUCAUCAUUACAGUUGAUUGACAUUCACAUGAAAGAUAAAUGUUACAGUAAGGAGGUUGAAUAUUCUCUAGUUUGUAAAAUCCUAAAUUUGUCACAGUUGAGUAUGUGAAAGUUUUGUUGCCCCAUUUAUGAAUGAAGUAUUCUCACUGCUGAAAUUCAUGCAAACCCUUGGUGAUGUUAUAGCAUAUCUGGAAUUCAACCGAAGGAGCACACACACAAUAUGGAUAGAAAGAAGCUUAAGUCUAGAACUGAGUUACUAUGGGCAUUUUGUAUGAUUGGGUUGUGAUAUGAAGGUGGAAGAAUCCUUGUAAAUUUGAUAAAAGAGCUAAAGUUGUGUGCAUGUUUGUUUGCGGGAAAUGUUAGUAUGUGUCAUUACUUGAGGGUAAGCAAUAGUUUAAGUUUGGGGGUGUGAUAACUCUAGGAAAUGAGAGUUAUUACAUCAAUUCUAGACUUGAAUUAAGGUCAAUUAGAGAACAAAUAAGGUGUUUUCAUUACAUUUUGAUUACCUUUUGCAUAAACAUUCAUUUUAGUUAAGUCUUAAUAAGUUUUGCUUGAAUCAUAGUAAUUUGUGCUAAAAACAGGUUUUAAAUUGUAGGUUUUAAAUUCAUGAGAGGAUGUUGAGGCAUUUGAAGAACAAGAGGAGGAAGGAAGAUGACCACAAAAGAAGUAAAGCACAAUCGGGAAUAAAGCAGUGUUAUGGCGGCUGUUAGAGCAACCAGUGCUGUAGCAAUCUGGGAGCAAUGCGGGAGAAAACUUAGGCGCGAGUCAGCCAUAAAAUCGCGAUAUGCAUGUUUCCUAAUUUAAACACAUGCACACUCAUGGGCUUUGAUUUAACCUAAUGUGCAAUAUAAAAAGGAGGCGUGCACCACAAAGAAAGGCGGCAAGGAAUUAUCAUUAGAAUAAUUAGAAGGAACGAAGAAGAAGAAGAUUAGAAUUGAAGAGUGUUGUUUCGGCAACAUUGGACAAUCGUGCAGAAUUACUUGACUUUAAUUUUCAUUGUGCUCAACUUAUAUUUAUCUUUUUCCUUUAAUUGAUUUGAUGUAUUCCGAGACCAAUAUGUUUAUGUUUACUUUUCUCAUUCAGAUUAUGAACUAAAUUUACUUGUAGUUGAGUGACAAAUAAUCCAAUGGGUUCUUGACUGUUCUUAUAUGUUGUUACUGAAAUAUAAGUGUGCAACCCAAGAGGGGGGGUGAAUUGAAAAUUUAAAAAAUAACCUAGCAAAUCCACACAAUAAGCAAUCUAAUGCCUUAAUAAAAAUUGAAAGCAAUAAGUUUAAUAAAGGCACAAUAAUUAAAGAGUAAGGGAGAAGAGAAACAAACACACGAAUUUUUACGUGGUUCGGCAAUCCCCGCCUACGUCCAUGCCUCCAAGCAAUCCAAGCUUGAGCAUUUCACUAUCCAAGCCUUUCCGAGGCUUCAACCGAUUACAAUUGACUUCGAGGUGUCAAUAAACCUUUACAACAAAGAGAUUAUGUCCAAAUCUCUUCACUCAAGUGUCUCACACACUCAAACUCUUACAAUUGAAAUGAAGAAAUGAAAGUUACAAUAAAACUUACUCAAUGAGUAGAUAUUCAAAAAUGAAGAACAAGGAAUGAUUCAAUGUUUUGUGUUUUGCAAGUUGUAAGCUCAAGAUAUCACGUGUGCUUUUUGUUUUUGCUUGUUGGAGAGCUUCAAAAUGAGUUGGAUUUGAGUUCUUAUAGUUUGAGCUCAAAAACUAGCCGUUACUCAUAUUCCAGGCGUAUCCGGUUUGCCGUUUAUGGAAUCCAGUUUGCCGUUUAUGGAAUCCGGUAAGCCAGAUUUAUGUUAUCGUUAAGGCAAAAAUUUGAAUUUUGCCUAUCCGGCUUGCCGGUUACGAAAUUCGGUAAGCCGUUUUCGUUCUGGAUGCUUACUGCCCGUAUCCAGAUUUCUGAUUUUCAAAAUCCGGAUAGCCGCUUGCUACAGUAACCUGCUACAGUGAAAUUUUUCCCAAAUUUUCAGUUUGACCCCAAAACUUUAUAAAACUGUAGUAUAGCCCAAAAUGUUAUGAAAUAUUGCAAAUAGGUCUAAUUUCAGAAUUUCUAAGUAAUGCUUUGUUAAUCCCAAAACUUUCUGAAAUUAUGAUUUCGCCCAAACUUUAUGAAAUUGUAGAAUGACCCAAAAAUAUUUAAAUAGUUUCAAAUAGGUCCAAAUCUGAAAUUUAAAAUACUAUCAAAGAUUUUAAAAUUACUUUCAUUUUAGUCCAAAAUGCUUUAAUUCCAUAACAUCAUUUUCUUAUUAUAAAAGCACAAUUCAUAAAUCUUUACUUAAUAAAUACAUGUGGUUUGUUAUCAUCAAAAUCAAUAUUUAUAGCCAUAUAGGCUAACAAUCUCCCCCUUUUUGAUGAUGACAAAACACAUUAAAAACUUUAAUCUUGUUAUGAAAAAGCUCCCCCUUAAUCAAUGCAAGUUAAAAAAUGAUUUGAAAAUUGUUUAACAAAAACUCCCCCUGUAUACAUGCUCCCCCUAGAUACAUGCAUAUUUUCAUAACACAUAUUAAAUCAUUCUCCCCCUUCAUCAUCAAAAAGAAUAAAAGAAUAAAAGCUCCCCCUAUCAAUCAUCAAAAUAGAAACACAAGCUCAUUAGUAAAAAAGAUAUCCAUAAGCAUAAGGAAAUCCAUAUAAUCCAUAAUGAUCAACCAAAACAAAUCCAUAACAUCCAACAUAAAUAGUCACAACAAAUCCAUAUCAUCCAAAGCAAAUACAUAAACCGAAAAGCAUAAUAACCAUCCAUAGAGUCGAAAAUAAAAGAACACACAAUGCAGUAAAUGAAAUGUAGGUGUGUCCAAGUACAAGCAUAAGAUACUACUCAGGUGGUGGUGAUGGAGGUGAAGGAGGUGGAAACGGAUAUGGAAUGCCGAAGUGCUCAAAGAAGAGGUGCUGUCCAUGAAUGAGCUGAAGCUGCAGCUGCCGCUACUGCUGCUGCUCCUGCUGAAGAUCAGUCUGCCGCACCGAAAGUGUCUGCACCUCAUCCAUAAGCUGCUGAAGAGUAACAUCUCCAGAGGUAGGAGGCCGUGGAGGUGAUGAAGCGGAUGCAGAUGCACUAGGAGCUGAAGCAACCGUGGAAGAAACUCGACGUCUACGCUGCCCUUGAAAUGAGAGUGAGAAUACUGGAAGCUGAUCGGCUGGAAUCACAGCAUUAAGUGGCCGAUCAUCACUUGGGGCUAGAAAGGUAAACUUGUUAUCACUGUAUUUGACCCAAGUGUCAUCCUUCCACUCAAAGCCUAACCCAACAAUAACCUCAUCCCCAAGACCCUUGGACGGCUUACAAGAUGGUUCUAGAAUCGGCACUUCAAAGAAUUUAAGAAUUCGGGUAAUUAAGUGACCAUAAAGAAGAGAGCGGGUAAUCAAGGCAAGAAUGCUCAACAUGGUCCGGAUGAUUGAAUAGCCCAAGUCAACCGGUCGACCGCUAAGAAUACAGUCAAUCAUGGCGACAUCCAUGUGAGAAACCUCAUCCAAAUGUCCUGAUCUAGGAAGUACAAUGGACUGGAUGAUACGAAGCAAAAAACGAGUUUGAAGACAAAGACACUGAGUACGGAAAUGAAUGGUACAGUCCUCAACAGAAAGAUCACUACGCCGACAAAUAUUACGAACGGCAUCAACAUGAACAUAGUCAUCAAUAUCAUGAGGUUUCCUAACAGAAAAAAUGUCCAGGCCAUCAUCAGAAGAUCCUAGGAUGGAGUUCAACUCCGAAUCAUCAAAUUCAAUCAAAACUCCUCCAACUUUGGCGAUUACGCGAUUCUCUUUCUCCUCGGAACAGUCCAUAUUCGAGUAAAAUACUUUCACCAAGUCAGGAUACACAUUCUCCUCAAUCAACAAUGCAUCAAUCCAACCAACAUCUCCCAACAAUUGAAAUAAAUUUCUAUAAUUAAUCUUGAGAGUAUGCAAAACAUCCGGUAAAACAAAGAAAGUGUUGAGUACCUCACGAGUCCAAAAGUUUUGUUGAAACCGUUUGAUCAAGUGUUGCUUGUUCUGAAAAUGAAUGGACUCAAAAUUGGAUUGGUUGGUGGCCCCUUGCUUCCCGUGGCCGGGUGGUUGGUUGAACUGGUUCUUUGCCUUUUCUACGAACCGGCCGAGAGCUUGACAUUUUGAUUUGGUUGAUUUAGAGUAGAAAAGGAUAAGGAGAAUGAUGAUGAUGAAGAUUGAAAGUGAUUUGGAGAAGCAAUUUGGAUAAAAAAACGGCUUGAGAGUGAGAAAUCUAGAGAGAGAAAAAUUCGGAUAAACCCUAGGUUGAAUUUGAGAUCUAGAGUUUUGGAUGUUCAAAAUGGAGUUUAAAGAUUGUUUUGAGUGAAUGAAGUGAUGGGGAAUGAUUUUCUUGACUCAAUUUGAUGUGAAAAUGGAAGGAAAAGAUGGAUUUUGGAGUGAAAUCGAGAGAGGAGUAAACGGUUUUUAGUGAGAGAACAAGAAACGGUUUGCUGAAUGGAGGAGGAAGAGGAUGAACAGCAAAAAUAAACCACGAAUCCGGCUUGCCAGAUUUCCUAACCGGCUAGCCGGUUAAUGGGCAGUAACUCACAAUUCAACAAACGGCUUAACUCGGGAAACAGAAAAUCUGGAAGUCCGGUUCUUGGGCAGAAACUUGAAAGCCGAAAACGGCUUGCUGGAUUUGUUAUCCGGUUUGCCGGAAAUGAACCCGAGAACAAUCAACACGAAAAUGAUUUUUCGGAUGCCUUUAACCGGAAAUCCAAUUGUGUUGCAGCAUCCAUUCACGCGAAUUCGGCUUGCCGGUUUUUGAGAACCGGUAGACCGGUUGUGAGCCAGAGAGGUGGCAAAGCAAAUCCGGUUUUCCGGAUUGAAAAUCCGGUUAUCCGAAUGUUGUCCCGAGAGCAACCAAAGCUAAUCUGGUUUUCCGGAUUGAAAAACUGGUUAUCCGAAAAUUGUCCCGAGAUAAAUCAAUAAGAAAGAAUGGUUUUCCGGAUGCAUGGAAAAGGAAUAUUGGCUAGCUCUUAUACUUGUAAUACACACACCAUUUUAUUUUUGGCUUUAAAAAUUGAUUAACUUUAAAUCAUUUUGAGAUUUAAAUCCUUUCAAUAAGCCAUUUAAUGCAUGCAACAUAAAACCAUAAAAUCAUAAAAUUAUAAAAUUACAAGCAUAUCAAGCUAUCUAAUUCAUGAAGCAUAAAUCCAUAUGAUAACAAACAUAUCAAGCCAUGUAGAAAAAUAUGAAUUAAGAUUCAACAUUCAUCAUUCUAAGCUCAUGUCUUAUCUUUAUAAAAUGCUCUUCGCUAAGAGGUUUUGUAAAGAUAUCCGCAAGUUGAUUUUCAGUGGAAACAAAUUUAAUUACGACAUCUCCUUUUUGAACAUGAUCUCUAAGGAAAUGAUGUCUAAUUUCUAUAUGCUUAGUCCUAGAAUGUUGAAUAGAAUUCUUAGAAAGAUUUAUGGCACUAGUAUUGUCACAUAAGAUAGGAAUUUGACCAAGUUUAAUACCAUAGUCUCUAAGGGUUUGUUUCAUCCAUAGAAUUUGUGCACAAUAACUACCUGCGGCAAUAUAUUCUGCCUCGGUGGUUGAAAGCGCAACCGAGUUUUGUUUCUUACUAAACCAAGAGACAAGUGAAUGGCCUAUGAAGUGACACGUUCCAUUAGUACUUUUUCUAUCAACCUUAUACCCAGCAAAAUCGGCAUCCGAAUAACAAGUUAGAUCAAUAUGAGUUCCUCUAGGAUACCAAAGGCCAAGAUUAAUAGUGCCAAUUAAAUAUCGAAAAAUGCGUUUGACAGCAAGCAUGUGAGACUUUUUAGGACAAGAUUGAAAUCUAACACACAAGCAAACACUAAACAUAAUAUCAGGCCUACUAGCAGUCAAGUAGAGUAAGGAUCCGAUCAUACCUCGAUAUGUCUUGAUAUCAACUUCCUUACCUUUCUCAUCUUUGUCCAGCUUGAUGGUAGUACUCAUAGGAGUGCUUUUUGCCGUUCCAUUAUCAUAGCCAAAUCUUUUGAGUAGAUCUCUCACGUACUUGGCUUGAUUUAUGAAAAUUCCUUCCUCGUUUUGUUUGAUUUGAAGUCCAAGAAAGUACUUCAACUCUCCCAUCAUACUCAUCUCAAACUCUUAGCUCAUACAUGAUGAAAAAUCUUUACACAACAACUCAUUAGUAGAACCAAAAAUAAUAUCAUCAACAUAAAUUUGAACAAUAAGUAUGUCUUGGUUCUUAUGCUUAACAAAAAGAGUUGUGUCCGCUUUUCCCAUUGAAAAAUCGUUAUCCAACAAAAAAUUUUUAAGCCUAUCAUACCAAGCUCUAGGUACUUAUUUUAAACCAUACAAAGCCUUGGAUAACUUAUACACAUGAUCUGAAAAUUUUUCAUUUUCAAAACCAGGAGGUUGUUUCACAUAGACUUCCUCCAUAAUAUAUCCAUUUAAGAAAGCACUUUUGACAUCCAUUUGAUAUAAAAUAAAAUCCUUAUGACAUGCAUAUGCUAACAACAUCCUAAUGGAUUCUAACCUUGCUACAGAUGCAAAAGUUUCAUCAAAAUCAAUUCCUUAUUCUUGGUUGUAACCUUGAGCCACUAAUCUAGCUUUAUUUCUUACAACCACACUGGAUUCAUCCAUUUUGUUUCUAAAUACCCAUUUAGUACCUAUAAUGGAUUGAUGUUCUGGAUUAGGAACUAACUCCCACACAUUGUUUCUCUCAAAUUGAUUCAACUCCUCUUGCAUUGUCAUUAUCUAAGAUUCAUCGUUUUCCGCAUUCGCAAAAGAUUUUGGUUCAAUUUGAGAGAUAAAUGCAGCAUACUCACAUGUAUUUCUAAGGGAUGAUCUAGUGGUAACACCUCGUGAGGGAUCUCCUAAAAUUACAUCCUUAGGGUGAGAGGAUACAUACCUCCACUCCUUGGGGAGUGUUUGUGAAGUACCUUCAUUUUGCUCUGCAUUUGUUUCUUCAUGAUGUUCUUCUUGAAUUCCAUGUGGAGCGUCUUCUUGGUUGUCAUUCAAUGCUUCUUGUUGUUGUUCUUCUUCUGCAUUAUCAUCAACAACAACUUUCUUUGUAGAUGAGGGGUUAGACUCAUCAAAUGUAACAUGCAUAGAUUCUUCCACAACUAAAGUUCUUUUAUUAUAAACUCUAUAAGUUUUGCUUGAAUUUGAAUAACCAAGAAAAAUACCAACAUCAGAUUUUGGAUCAAAUUUACCAAGAUUAUUUUUGUGUUCAAAACAAAACAUUUGCAUCUAAAAACUUUAAAAUAGCCAAUGUUGGGUUUUCUAUCUUUCCAAAGCUCAUAUGAAGUUUUAUUAAGAUUAGGUCUAAUCAACACCCGAUUUAAAACAUAACAAGCGAUGUUGACGGCUUCGGCCCAAAAAUAUUUAGGCAAAGAGUUUUCAUUCAAUAUGGUCCUAGUCAUUUCUUGAAUAGACCUAUUCUUUCUCUCUACUACUCCAUUUUGUUGUGGAGUCCUAGGUGAUGAAAAUUGAUGUUCAAUACCAAGGUCAUUACAAAAAUUUUCAAAUGCAUGAUUUUCAAAUUCUCCACCAUGAUCACUUCUAAUACAAGUAAUAGAAUAACCUUUUUUUCAUUUUAAACCUUUUUAUAGAAAAUUCAAAAUACAUCAAUGGCAUCAUCCUUAUUAGCUAAGAACAAUACCCAUGUGUAUCUAGAAUAAUCAUCCACAAUUACAAAUGCAUAAUAUUUGCCACUUAAACUAGCAUAUCUAGAAGGUCCAAAUAAAUCUAUAUGAAGCAAUUGAAGUGGUUUUGAAGUAGAGACAUGAUUCUUGCUUUUGAAGGAAGUUUUGAUUUGUUUUCCAAAUUGGCAUGCUUCACAAAUUCUAUCUUUUUGAAAACUGAUUUUUGGAAGACCUUUAACUAAAUCAUUUUUCACGAUUUUUGAAAUCAAAUCCAUGCUUGCAUGACCUAAUCUUCUAUGCCAUAACCAGCUAUCAUCAUGCAAUGCGGAGAGACAUUUAUCAUGUAUUGAUGCACAAUCUAUAUUAAUGGUAUAGACAUUAACACAUCUAUUUUCUACAAACAAGACUUUCCCAUCACAUGCAUUCUCAAUAACACAUUUUGAUUCAUCAAAGAUAACUCUAUAUCCUUUAUUGCAUAAUUGACUAAUACUAAGCAAAUUGUGUUUCAAGUUUUCAACCAAACACACAUUUUCAAUGAGAGUAGAGGAUACAUUACCGACAUUUCCAAUCCCAAUGAUUUUUCCUUUUGAAUUAUCUCCAAACGAUACAUCUCCACCAUUUUCGAUCUUAGUGAAGCUUGAAAACCAAUAAUAAUUCCUUGUCAUGUGUCUUGAACAACCACUGUCCAAGUACCACUUAUUCUUCUUCUUCUUCUUCAAGCCCUGUAGAGAAAAUCUCAAGUUUUAUGUACCCAAACCUUUUUGGGUCCUUGAGAGUUAGCAAUGGUUCCUUACGGAACCCAAACACAUUUCACACCAUAAUAUGCAUUUCUCUUCACCACACAUCUAUUUUUCAUAUGACCAUCUUGAUUGCAAUAAUGACAUACAAUUUGAUUGUUAAUAGAUGUAUUCUUCACAAAAUAACUCUUGUAAAAUUUUUGUUUCAAAUUCGGUUUAUAACCUAUGCCACUUUUGUCAAAUACACAUUUUUGUGAGUUUAGCAAAUUGUCCAACAUCUUUUGCCCAUUUGUGAAUUUUAGCACAAUUUCAUUUAGUUCAUUGCUCUUCUUUUUAAGCAUUUCAUUCUUAUUUUUCAAGUCAUUCAUGUGUGACUCUAAGUGCUCAUGUGAAGUGCUAGAAUUCUCAAAUGAUGCAAUACUCUCAUGCAAUGUUUUAUUUUCUAAUUCUAGGCAUGUAAUAUUUGCACUAAAUGAAUCAUUUUCAUUCUUAAGCUCUAUCAUCUUCUUUUUAAGACAUAUAUUCUUUUACCAAUCUUCAUUAGCUCAUCAUGCAAAUCCUUAAAAGCAUCAUGCAAUUCAUCAUAUAUAGGAAGAACACUUACCUCAUCAAGUUCAUCACAUGAUUCUUCCCCAACGGCCAUGAGAGCUAAGUUUGUCAUUUCUUGUUGCUCAUCCUCAUCACUUGUUUCCUCAUCGCUAUCAUCUCAUGUGGCCACCAUAGCUUUCUUCUUGAGUUUGUUGAGAAGAGGACAUUCCGGUCGUAUGUGUCCGGGCUUCUUGCAUUCAUAACAAGUGAUUGGCUCCUUCUUCUCCUUCUUAUUCUUGUAGCCUCUGAACUUUCUCUGUUCAUUAUUCUUCUUGUAAAAUUUUCUGAAUCUUCUAGCCAACAUAGCCAACUCCUCAUCAUCCAUUUCGCUUUCCUCAUCACUCUCACAUUUUGAAGCCUUGAGAGCAAUAUUUUUCUUCUUUUCCUCAUGCCUUUUUUCAGUUGUCAAAUCUUCUACAUAUGAAAUGAGAGAGCCAAUUAAAUCAUCAAUAGGUAAUACAUUUAAAUCCUUGGCAGUUCUUUUUUGUCUCUAUUCUUUAGGUAGAGACCUAAUGAUUUUCUUGACUUUUUCGCUAUUUGAAAAAGUCUUUCCUAGGGCUCCUAGAGUGUUCACUAUGUCCGUGAAUCUAGUAUACAUAGAGUACACAUUUUUAUUUUGUUCCAUUUGAAACAAUUCAUAUUGUCGAGUGUACCUACUUAUUUUAGAUUCUUUCACUUGGUUCGUGCCUUCAUAGACAACCUCAAGUUUGUGUCAAAUCUCAUUAGAACUUUCGCAACUAGACACUCUAUGAAACUCUUUCUUAUCUAGUGCACAAAACCAGGCAUUCAUGGCCUUGGAAUUUAGAGAAGCUUUUCUCUUUUCGAAUUCAUUCCAAUCCCGUGAAGGUUUUGGAAUAUCUUCUCCUACUUCAUUUUUAGUCAAAGGCAUGAAAGGACCAUCAUUAACGAUUUCCCAAAUCUCAUAAUCUAAGGCUUGCAAGUAAAUUCUCAUCCUAGUUUUCCAAUAUGGGUAAUUGUUUCCAUCAAAGUAAGGUGGUCUAGUGGUGGACUGCCCUUCCCUAAAUGUGGAAUCAUUUUGAGUUGCCAUUGAUCUUUAACUCUAAAUGGUUAAAUAUAAAUAAGAGCACCUCGCUCUGAUACCAAAUGAAAUAUAAGUGUGCAACCCAAGAGGGGGGUGAAUUGGAAAUUUAAAAAAUAACCUAGCAAAUCCACACAAUAAGCAAUCUAAUGCCUUAAUAAAAAUUGAAAGCAAUAAGUUUAAUAAAGGCACAAUAAUUAAAGAGUAAGGGAGAAGAGAAACAAACACACGAAUUUUUACGUGGUUCGGCAAUCCUCGCCUACGUCCACGCCUCCAAACAAUUCAAGCUUGAGGAUUUCAUUAUCCAAGCCUCUCCAAGGCUUCAACCGAUUACAAUUGACUUCGAGGUGUCAAUAAACCUUUACAACAAAGAGAUUAUGUCCAAAUCUCUUCACUCAAGUGUCUCACACACUCAAACUCUUACAAUUGAAAUGAAGAAAUGAAAGUUACAAUGAAACUCACUCAAUGAGUAGAUAUUCAAAAAUGAAGAACAAUGAAUGAUUCAAUGUUUUGUGUUUUGCAAGUUGUAAGCUCAAGAUAUCACGUGUGCUUUUUGUUUUUGCUUGUUGGAGAGCUUCAAAAUGAGUUGGAUUUGAGUUCUUAUAGUUUGAGCUCAAAAACUAGUCGUUACUCACAUUCCAGGCGAAUCCGGUUUGCCGUUUAUGGAAUCCAGUAAACCGGAUUUAUGUUACCGUUAAGGCAAAAAUUUAAAUUUUUCCUAUCCGACUUGCCAGUUACGAAAUCCAGUAAGCCAUUUUCGUUUUGGAUGCUUACUGCCCGUAUCCGGAUUUUCAAUUUUCAGAAUCUGGAUAGCCGCUUGCUACAGUAACCUGCUACAAUGAAAUUUUUCCCAAAUUUUUAGUUUGACCCCAAAACUUUAUAAAACUGUAGUAUAGCCUAAAAUGUUGUGAAAUAUUGCAAAUAG